GGGAGGUGGAGAAAGGUUGGAGGGGAACCACUGGCAAAGAAGUCGUUUCAUACUGAGCUGUUUGUGCUCACUGGGAGUCACUGCACCUGUGUAUUUCAGAACUGGUCACUCACAGUCCAACUGGUUGUUUAUCAACGCUGUCAUGUCUGCAGCUCGUGCAGCAAACAGCAGGAGGGAGGCAGAGUUGGACCUGCCAGACUCUCAAUAACAAAAACUCAGAGCAAAGGAUUUGUGUUUGGUGAGUUUCUGCCUCCAUCUUGAGACAAAAGAAAUCUGAGGAACAAACUUGCCUGGCUGGAAUGAAAGGCUGACAGCAAGCAGACUUGUGUGGACAAGGGUGAGUAACUCACAACCAGCUGAAAUUAGUUUGUUUGGUCUAAAAGUUUUUAGCUCUUUGAUCUGUCUGUAAGUCACUCCAGUAAACUCUGCUAGACUGUAACAUUCAUGCAGUUUAUCUUGACUUGAGGUUUUAUUAGUCUGGUUAUAUAUGUGUGUGUGUGUGUGUGUGUGUGUGUGUGUGUGUGUGUGUGUAUGUAUGUGUGUCUGCACAGGCGCGUGUUGGGGCUCAUGUUUUGUUUGCUGAAAUUUAUGAUGUGUUGGCUGGUUUGUGGUUCAUCUUUGGGUUAGACUCAGCUGCUCUGCUCCUCUCAGGGCUUGUCUUGUUUUCUCUUGUUCAUUUGUUCAGACAUCUCACAUGUCCAGAAAUAAACACACGCGCACACUUCCACACACAGGAAGCGACAGGACAGUGUGAUGUCUUCACUCCACAGCCGACAGGAUUUGCUCCUGCUGGUUCAAAUAACAGCAGUCCACUUGUAAACCAAUCUUCUGUUGUACCCUCGCUCAGUUUUUAACAAAAAAAUGGUUCAAUAAGUCUGGGAUUUUCUGGUGGAUUAUCUCUGACUUCAAAUUAAAACAAAAACAACAAAAAAAUUGUUGCUGUUUGUUUUUGAACAUUGCAGUGUUAUUCAGUUUUUUUCAAUUAAUUCAAGUCAGGGUACAACCAUCAACAGAGGUGAAAAUGGCACCAUAAAUGCUAGUAUUCUUGCACUGUACGUGAAAAAAAGAAGCAGAAGUUGUGUUUAUGGUAAAGUUUAUUGUUAAAACUGCAUCUAAAGUCAAGGUGUAUUUUUUAAAAGCUUAAACUAUUCUGAAAGAAGAGGGUAAAGCCUCUCUGACAGUUACUUAGGGCUAAACAAGCAUGCUGAGUUUUGCUGUAUAAAAAAAUCAUCAGACAUCAUCCCAGCGGUAUUUCCAAUCCUUAAAGUCACAGAUCACAAAAAAGUCAUUUUUAGACAUCAUAGUUUUGGGGCUUCCUUGAGAGCCACAAAUUGUUUUUGUGUUUAAAUUGAAACUAAACUGACAUAAGAAGUUUGUGUAGGAAAAAGAUAUCGAUUUGUGAAUAUAGACCUUACUGUUUGUCCACUGUGAUUGGUCCAUUCUUUAAAGCCACUUUUACAAGUGGUAGCUCAUUCUAAGAUCAUGGUUUCUGCUGGUAUCUUGGUCCAGGUGUUGAACAGAUAUACAAGUUUUCAUAUUUGGAAUGUAAUAUGGUGAAAUCAGUCCAUGUUCUUGCAGUAAAUAUUCCCUGGUCCUUAAGUGUCUUGAUGUAAUACAAUUUUUUAACCACUUCGAAAUAGAUAAAUGAGAAGUGAUAUCCACAAAAAGACCCUGCAGUCAGUCCAUCCCUCUUAACCCCUCUUCUUAUAAAGGGCUUGGGUUAUGGUGUCUGCAUGCAAAGAGAGGUUUUCCAGACAUCCCUCCUCCAUGGAAGUUUCUACAGCUCCUAAACUCUAAGAUUUUCUUAGGCCAGAUGAGAUAUAAUCCCACCAGAAUUUCCUGGUGUCCCUGCCCCCAAGUAGGCUUGUCCAGAGACACUUCAAAGGCAGGUGUGCAGGAUGCACCCCGUUUAGUGUUGCCGAAAUCACCUCAGGUGGCUACUUCCUUCCUGUGGUACAGGUGCAGUGGCUGUAUUCAAAUCUCCCUCCUGAUGAUAGAGCUCCUCACUCUGUCCAAGGAUAAGAUAAGCACUUAAUUAGAGGAAACUCUUUUUAGCUGUUUGCAUCUCAGUCUUUGUGGUUCGUAGGGCUGGGCAAUUAAUCAGAAAUGAAUCCUAACCAAAGUUCAGAACUGCUAACUGAGGUAAUCUUGUCUAUAUUGGUUGUUGAUUUUAUGAAUUUCUGUUAAAAGUAUAAUGAGGGUCAUGAGCUGUGAAGGAUAAAAGUAGGUAAUCUAGAGGCUAAAAUGUGAAAUGAUAAUAGUUUGUGUGUUGAAGUUGCCAUCAGCCAGUUUUUCUGUAUUAGAUACACAGUGUGAGCCAUGAGAGCUGUUUGUGUUUAUUUACAGGUAUGCAUUUUAAAUUGUGAAACAACAUUAGCCUCGCAUGCAUUUUUUAAAAUUCAGUUUGCCACUUGUAACUUUUGUUCUGUAACUUCAUGUUAAAUUCAGCUAUCAGUGUGAAGUUGGAAGCAUCUUUCACUGCAAAUUAGCUGGCUGAGGUGCCCAGCUUGGGGGUUUUCGUAGUACAUGAGGUCUCCUCAAGCUUGUUUUGGGGAUACUCAAAAGCCACCAGACACAGAGAUUGAAAACGUUUUACCAGGACAUUACCCCAUCUUUGGACACAAUGUCUAAAGACCAGUAAAGAGUCAAUGUGAAAGGAGAUUUCUGAGACUGGCAAAGCUAACGCAUAUCUGCCACCAACACUGUGCCUCCUCAGCUCGUGUUUUCUGCCACCAGAAUCAGUUUGACCCCUAUGAGCUCCUGACUGACACCGUCCAUGUGUCCAUGCUCAACUUAUCAAUAAGAACAAGUAUGCAGAAAACUGAACACUGGGAGUCAGUGAUGCUUCUCUGUCCAGUUUCUUUGCUGGAGCAUUUUUAGGUUUUGUUGUUUGAGACUUACUCUGUAUGAUGGUAUGUUGUACUGAUUAUUAUAAAUAUAUAUGAUUUGGGGAAAUUUGUUAUUCCUUUUUUCAUAGGAAAAUUUUAAAUUUGUCAUUGAUUAAUUGAUCACUGAUCAUUAAGGUUUCUGAAGAUAGAUGGGUAAUAAAACGGCAUCCCUAUUCUGAGGAUUUAUCCUAAGAACAGAGCAGUUUUUAAACAUACUAUGAUUAGUACAAACUGAAUAAUCAGAACAUUGUUGCUGUUGUCUUUGCAUGGUAAUACUUUGUAAUGAUGAGAUCAGAAGUCGCCCUAGGCUCCUCUCCCAUGCAGGUGUAAGUGAGAGUUGCCGUGGUUACAUCCAUGGUCUGUGUCUGGAGCUGAAAGGGAUCCUCUCUUUAUUGCAUGGACUGUGCUCUCUGAUAUUAUGUGUCAUAGAAAUGAAUCACAGUCUGAAUGAUGAUCAUAGGGUUACACUCUAACCUUGGUUCUGUGAGUGAAGAGACAAUCUUUCAAGCUUGCACAUGUGAUGGAGAGGAAGUUGAUAGAGAACAAGUUUUGGGGAUUUUGUUUGACCUGUGUUGUAAAUGCACAAAAUGAACAUUUGAGUCAUGUAGUUCAAGGCUGUGUAUUCACAGCCUUCAACUAUAGAAAUCAUGAAUUGUGAGCUAUAGCUGACCAGGAAAAACAGAUAUGCUCAUUUCGUACAUGGUUUUACAUUACCUGAAAAAAUCUGAAUGUGUGUUAUUGUGUGUUUCAGUUGUGGGGGGCAAUCUUUUUUGUGGUACCAAUCACAUCCUUGAUAAAGAGUUGAUCUGUACGUUCCCUUCUUUGUUCUUUAAAAAAGAAAAGCACACAAAUAAGAUGUAUGCUAUUUUAUCAGAAACAAUUAUCCCAGCUUUAAUUGUUGAUUUGGAACAAACCUUGUAAAGGAACUAUGAGGGCAAAAAAGUCAAAAACAAAAAAAUAAAUUCAUUGAUCAUAUUUGAGGUAAAAUGUUCAAUUAAUCAUGAUAUUGAUUUCAGGCCAGUUUAGGUUUUCAGCCCAAAGCUUCAGACCAAAGGUGAGGGUUGUAACUUAGAUUUUCUGAUACCACAAGAAGCCUUCCUUCCAGGUGAGCUCACUCAGACAGAACAAGAAAGACUUUAACUUUGUAAUAUGAUAUUUGAAAUGUUAUUCAAUGAAGCAUAGGUAUCAUUCUCUCUUAAUUAUAGUCUCUUCUUCACUAACAACCCAGGAUGAACAGAGCCAGAUGAGUUCAAAGGAUAAUUAAUAGUCUUUGAGCUUCAUGAAUAUGUUUUGCCGUCACUGAACUGAAGAGCUCAAAACAACCAUUGAUAAAGAAAUGUACGGUCAGCUUAUACAGCCUAAUGAAGUGAUAUUAGCGCCAUUUUGAGCACUGUGUCUUGCUGAGUUAAUUUAUCCAGUGUCUUUUAACAUAAUGUGUUAAAGUGCAACGUCUAAAUUCCGUCUAAAAAUAUACAGAAUCUAGACGGUUGAAAUUAGGUCUAAAAAAUAACUAGACGUCUAUUGUUCAGUGGGCAUCGCUUUAUAGCGCCCUUUAGGAAAACAAAUCAUUACUCUAAAUCUUUCAUUGCUUCUGCCAUCAGGCCUAGAACCUUGACAGUCAUCACUCGAAGUGGCCACAUAGGUGCAAAGUGCGAGAGCACUUAUUAUCUAUCGUCUCUGACAUGUACCUGUCUGACUUUGUUUGUAAAUGUUCUGUAUGCAGAGUCUGAGUUGACUGCUGAAACCUAAAUUGCCCCUUUGGGAUUGAUAAAGUUGUCAAAACUGAACUGAGCAACAAUAUAACAAGGGUGUUUCAUAGUGUUGCAACAAUGUGAAAGAACACGUCAUUAUGUUUAAAGAUACAGUGUAAGCUUUGAAUGCUCACACACUGUGAUACACAUGCUUUGGGGGAACAUUAAAAUAGGUCUCUGCUAUGGUUAGUGCUCCUGGAAAUAAUGACCAAUAUCAUUAUUACACCCACAUAAGCAUCUGGCUUCCAAUAACUGGGCUGCCAAACCUGAGAAUGUUAAAAAUGUGUGACUUUUGUUUCAGAAGACAAGGCGGGGUCAGAAGAUGGAGGUACUUGACAGUAUUACUGAAUGUGUAGACUUAUUUAAAACAAAAUGUGUUGGUACAGAAGUAGCUGGAAAAAAUAUUGACAAAAAAAAGUGAUGGGGGUUGUUUUGAAGAGAAGCAUGUUUCAGGCUGUGCAUGCUUCACAUUCUUAGCUGCUGACCUCCAUGGAAAAUAACAACAGCCGGGCUUGAAGGUCAUCUUGCAGUGACCAGUGGCUGAGGCUGAGCAGUCAGUGGUACCAAACUAGAUGUUUGUAAGCCCAGUGAUCUUCUGCCCUGCUACGUAUAUGUUGAGGGUGGGGGGGUGACGUGAUGAUCAUGAAACAGCGUGAGCGUAUGGUCAUUCGAUGGUAGUAAUCCUCAUGUUCCAAUAAUCAAAGUACUUAUGAACCAUUUAUUCAGUACACGCAAAUUAUACGUAUUUUAUCAGUCGGCUGAUCAUCAGUAUUGCUUGUCGAAAGGACAGCAGCUUUCUAUUCCCUGUUAUGAAUGUAAUGACAAGUAAUCAUGGUAAUGUACGACUCCGUGGAUAGACCUGUCCAUGAGUCUGUGGUGACAACCACUUUGUCAACACUCUAAGGCAGUCCCCGAUCCGGCUGCACUUUCAGUUUUUUCCCCCUUUUCUCGUAGUUGUCUGCAGAGAUAGUGGCUUGAACUCCGGCUCAACAAAUGCCAACAACUUACAGAAGCCUUCCCCUCUCACAAAACUCAGUCAGGUUAUCAUCACACCGGCGUCCAGUAACAGCACUAGCAAAUGCUGUGAUGCGAGACUUAGAGUGCAUGUGGUUAAGGAUCCAGCUAGUAUUUCUAUGGUUUCUUUUUUUGUCAAAAUACUUUUGGAUGUCAGUUUUCACACAAUGCAUGCACAAGUAGUGUAACGAUACUCGAAUAACGACGGUAACCAUAAGUUCUUGAGUAAUCGAGUAUUCGUCUCCAUCCUUAUAAUACACACACCAGUGCUGGUGCUCGUUUUAUGUACAGAUUCAGCUGUGCUGGAGGCCUGUCACCACACACACACACACACACACACACACACACACACACACACACACACACACACACACACACACACACACACACACACACACACACACACCAUCAGGGUUAAUGAAUAUCAUUGCAAACAGUGCAUAUUGAGUGCCUUUGAACCAGUGAAUUCAUGUAUGGAUUAGUUUUGUGCUUUGUGUUAAGACAGGGGGGUAAAGAUAACUGGUCUGAACCUGCUCUUUUCUCUGAGGUCGGACAGCCCCUCAUAAAAAAAACGACUCUAAUAAACUAACUCCUGGUGUGCCUGCCAGACCACACGCUUGCUGUCGGCUGUAAAAUAUGACCAGGCUGCUUCCCCUUUUUCUCUUCUCACUCUUUGCCCUUUUGACCCCUUCUCAUCUCCUCUUUUUUCUCGCUCUACCUCUUUCCCCGUGUCUUUUCCUUUUCUGUCUGUUCCUGUUUGCACUUCCCCUGCUUUUGUCAGCCACUGCUUUUCCGUAUUUGUCUAGUUAAAGAAGUAUGGAUUAUUUGAUGUGACAAGAAUAAUGUAAGAGUUAAAUAGAUACCAGACUUUUGUUUGUUUUGGUACCUAUUCAACAAUUCACCUGUUUGAUGAUGCCUAAAGUGAAACUUGUCUUUGCUGUCCAUACAAAGAGAAAGCAGAGAUUGUACUAAACUUUUAUGAUUUCCUGAGCCUUUGCAAAGCUAAAUCCAGUAAUUUGAAGCAGCAAGUGAGUUACACGGUUCCAGCAAAGCAUAUGAAUUAUAAAAUUCAUACACAUGUUUAAAUCAAUGUGUAAUCACUAAGUUGUCAAAGUAGUUUUGUUUUUGUUAACUUAUAAUGAGCCUUUUGUAUCGAUACAGGAGCACGUUUCUGUCCAUGGAGACAACCCUCCUGUUCUGACAUGUUUCUACAGCAGGGCAAAACAAACUGGAAACAAAUACUUUUUGUAUUAAGUGAGUGGAAAUUAACCAGUUGAAAGACAGAAGAAGUUGUUUGUAUUGUGAGUUGUAUUGGAAGUUGUUUCUGAUGGUAAAAACUUGACAAAUGAAGGAGCAAACUUGUCAUGCAUCAUGGGAGUUCCUUGUCCUUGAGGGCCAAUGUCGUUUCACCUACAGAAGGGGUGAACAGGUGAGCAUUUAUAUCUCUGACCAAUAGAUAUUGCUAGAUAUUCCCUUUUCUACAGAUAUUACUUUUAAUUUGAAAAACCUACCACCUUUUCAAAAAACAAAAACUUGUAUCCAUGCUUUGAAAGCUCAGCUCCCCCUAAGCCUAACUCGUGAAAUUUUUUGUUUGGAAAAAUGUAAAUAUGUUCCAUUUAGUGAUUUUUCCAGAAUGCGAAAAAAACAACCAAAAAAACCAACAUAUUUUUAGGGAUAAAACCCAGCAUGUGAUGUUGCAUGAAGCAGACAUAAGUUGUCUUGACAAACAGGCCUGUGUGUUUCUGUUUGCUGAACAGAUAUAUAUAAUCGCUGGAGUCGAGGAUGGCUUCGUACCAGCUGGAUCUUUUUCCUCUCUGAAGGGCCUCACUCUGUCAGUCUCAGUAACCUGGGGGUUGUUUCUUAGAAAUCUGGCUUUUGACCAGAGGACUGGACCAAAAAAAAACAAAAAAAAAACAACAUACUGAGAGGGAUUAGGAGUGUGGAAGAGCUUCUAAAAUUACAGCCCUCAGAACAUAUCCAGAUGUUGCUGUCCUGAUUCUCCCCAGGUAACACACAUGACAGAGUCGCAGUGUGGAGGGGCCAAAAGUGGAGAGAGUGGCUCUUGUAGAGCAACCCCGAUCCCCAAUUUUAUUAGUUUUUUUUUGGUCCUCCUGGACUCCAGCUGGUGAUAUCAACCUGCCACAGAGACAGAGGCUCUAACAGUGUGAGUUAGUGUGAAGCAGUUGGGCUCUGUGUCUGCUGCUGAUCACAUACUGAACCAGUGAGAAAUGCACAGCAGUAUGAGCUACUGUGCAAAGGGCUUGUUAACUGUUACACACCCAUCUGACAUCUUCACGAUGUUUGAUCUUUGAAGUCAUGAGUUCAUGCUUUCAGAGAGACAAAUGUACAUUUUCUUACAAAGCCAAGAGGCUUUAACCUUUGCUUUAGAUCUGAUGUGUUUGAAAAACGUGGAACUGAAGUACUCUGGGGGAAGCAACAUCAGUUAUCUUAAUCUUUAGAAAAAAUGGAUCGUCAAAAGAGGGUACAAAUUUUACAGUUCAGUCCAGUUCACAGGUCAAGAGUCAGUUAAGUUCAUGGAGCUUAGCCGGGAUUUAAACUGUUAUUUGUAAAGACCAUUUCUGUAUUGCUUUUGCUUUUCGGAUAAGCGGAAAGAAAUUGUAUUCUGAUCGAGAGGGGUGGUUCAUGCGAUCAUUAUUCUGAAAUCUGUCCAUGUAUACACUCAUUCCGAUCGUGACUCUCUGUUGGGGCAAAACUAAUCUGACUGCACUUGUGUUCCCAAAGUCAGCGUGACACAGUCCACUGUUAGUGACAAGACGUAAACAUUGCGGGAUCCAAGAGUGAUUGGUCUGUGUCUGACACAACUUUCUUGCUAGAUACAGUCUCCUCAUGUAACGCAGGAUCAGUAUGUGCUGCUGGACCCGCUUGAUGAUCAUGUAUGCUAGGAGCAAUAUAACUACUCAGAACCUGGCUCGGGUCCAUUCUGAGCAGAGGGAAAAAUCCUGAAUUAGAUGGAGUGGGACAACAUCGCGUUUGUUGGUUUGUUGACAGCACAGGUGUAAAUACAACUCUUCUGCAGUUGUUUUAGCGAAAUUAGACAAUUACACAUGUCCAAAUGCUUCUAAUCUGAAUAAAGCUUGGUGCAUGUAUUUUGCGCCUAUAUAAACAGUGGAUUCAGGUUUUCUGAUCCCCCAGAUUUUUAAUUUAAUCAAGAAAUUUUGCACAUCUAAACGUGGCUUCUGAGUGUGCCGGUGUUUCAGUUAUGGGCACUGCAGAUGAUGUGAAAUGUUCCUGUACUUGUUUUACUACUCUGCUCAUGUUUUGGGAUUUUUACCAAGCAUAAUUACUGUUCCUGCUCUCACUGUGACUGUUGCGCAUCCAUGAGUGGAGUCAUGCAUUGUCUCUGACCAGUUGUCCUUAUGUCUCUUUUCUUGGUUACAUGGUGAAUUUGAAAAACUUUGAUAUGCACAUUGUGCAAGCAUCAUCAGGUUGCUGCCUCUGAUGUUUCUCUGUGCCUGUAGUGACCCCUGUAUUCUUUUAUUUUACAAUUCCUUUGCAUCUGUCUCUUCUCACAGCAUGGACAGGCAGGGCCAAGACAGACAGGCAUCUAUCUCAUGCACGUAUCAGUUUCAAGCAGAGGCGAAACAUGAAAAGCCAGUGAUGAUUAAUUUUUCAUUCAUCUGUGGAUCACGCAUAGGCUGUGAUCAGCUGGGUGGCCUGAAACAGAUCGACUGAUUCGUCACUCCACAAAUUGCAAGAGAAUGGGUGCAUCUAAAUUUUGAGAUAUGACAAAAUAAAUCAGUGUUCAAACAGAGUGUCAAACAGUUGAUAUACAGUGAUACUACUGCCUAGCAUCUGUGACUGGCAGCAGGGGACAGAGAGUGAUAUAAAUGAUGUUUCUCCCACACAGAUUAUGUCAAAAAAAAAAUAAAACAAACAAACAUAAACAAUAAAACCUUCUCAGUCCCCCCUUCCGUCUUCUGGGUCCUAGUUUAGUUAAUUCUCCAGUCAGAGUACAAGUCCCAGUCAUCACUGGUCAUGUCCAAGUCAAGUCAUGAGUACUGGACUUGAGCACUACAACACUCUGCAAAUGAACUCAAAAGGCCAUAAAUAGGCAAGGGCAGGCCUAUUAGUCUGUCUGAGGGUUAAUGCUGUGAAAUCACAAUGACACUUGUCGAGACUUUCUGCAAAUUUCUUGAAAUUUGGCGGUCAAAGGUCAAGGCUUCUGUAACCUGUCAGCAAAUAAAUACUCUUUGUCACCUCCCCACAAAUAUCUUAGAGUUGUUGGAUGAUAUGAAGGAUGGUAAUUCUUAUUUUGUUUUUACAAGGUCUGCUUCUCUUGAAAAAGGUUACAGAUGAAUUUUGGAAAUAAGUUUUAGAAACCACUCACAUGGAAAGUACUUAAGUGGUUGCAGUUAAUUUUCACCUCAGCCACAACUUUUUUUCUUGUUUUUAAGAACCUUUUCUCAACUGGUCUGGGGAAUGAGGUUAAAAAGUGAGUACACUCUGACCCAUAUUUUGAUCCCUGGCUUGUUGAAGUAGUGUGCAUUCAUUUAGAACUGUACAUCCAAACAAAAACACCUUACUGCCGCUCCAGUCCUGGUUUAUAACACCAAUAGCCAAGAGGAUAAUCAAUUUCAUCAGCUGAGAUUUGGCUUUGAAAGGAUUUACAUCUAUGAAAGUCAUGAGGAAAAACCAAAUACUGAUAUUUGCCUUUAAUGUGGAAGGUUUGUCUCAAGAGCAUGAGAUACAGAGGCAACAUCGGCGUCAUAGCAGUUCUUCCCAUUACUUUCCACACUGUUCUCAUGGUAAGCCUCUGCAUUGUGUCUAAUCCAUGAGUGGAAAUGCAGACCCUUUAAGCAAGUGGAAAGAAUGAUGCUCCAGUGUAUUGGAUGGACCUUGUGUGCAAUUUUUGAUGUGGCCAACAGUCAGAUGGGGACAAAGUUUCUACCACAAACGCUGAUAGGUCUUGCCUAGUUGCUCUUAUAUCCUCUAUUCAUAUUGAGAAGACAUGAUAUAUGGAUGUGAUAUGGAAAUACAUGGUGGUUACCAGAAAAAUGCAGUGUAUUUUACGUACUUAUAUGAUUAAGAUUUUGAUAUUCCCCUAUAAUAGUGAUAAUAACCUUUUUCUUUUUCCUUGUGCAAAAAGGAAUCACUCUGGGGUCCUGUUGUAGCCUGCAGGAUGAACAGGAAUAUGCUGUUAUAAUACAUGUCUCACAAGAAGUCAGCUCUGUGUGUUUUUACAGGAGGGGCUGCAUAAAAGUGAUAGUAGAUUGGUAGUGGACAUAAGAGAGAUUUACCUCCCCAUCACCCACGCAGACACAGAUAUGUAUGUGAAAAGUAGUGUAAUGAAGUAGUUUGUGAGUGACAACAACCAGACUGCAUCCUGGUCAGAGCAGAAUUACAGAAAUCUUAGAUCUCUACAUUUCUCAUCAGUUUAGAUGUUGGCAGCGAACAGUGCUGCUGAAUUUUAUUUCCAUUCGAACAGGCCUACCUGCUUAAAAGUGUACUUCAACUGAUGAUUUUGUUUUCUUCAGUCCAAACUGAUAAAGAGAAGUGGGCCGUUGAUGUUACUUCUCAAAGUACCAUCUGUUAUUCCCAACAAUCACCACUGAAUUAUGAGCUGCUCUAGCUAUGCUAAACUUUCUCAUUUCUAACAAACUCUUCACAGCAAAAGUCUUUUAGUUUUAUUGAAGUUUUUUUUAUUCUAAAACAGCCAUCUUAUAUAUUUCAGCAGUAACUCAAAACAACACAUUGUAUACAAAGGAGUAGGAGAGAAAUUAAUUUUACAUCACCGAGACUCGGUAAGAAACUACAAUGUCAAAAAUCAGACUCCCUGACUUGUUUUAGGAGGAGAGGGGUUUUAUUGAGUCAACAUAUGUUCACAUUAGUGAUUCCUAUACAUACUUCUGUACAUUUUCUUAAACCACAAUAAAAUUCCAUCAUCACAAAACCACUGCGCAUAUACACAUCAGGGUUUGGACUAGGGCUGGGCGAUAUGGCUGAUAACGAUAAAUGGACGAUAACUUUUCCACAAGCUGCUCACCUCCUCCCACAUUAACUUUGUCUACUUCAGCCGCUACAACUUUUGAACCGUCCUCCAUCUCCUCACCCGUCUUUCCUUCUAUGUUAUGGACUGGAUGGGGUGGAGUCACGUCUCUGACGUAGGACAGCGUCUUAAAGGGACAUGAGACCAUAGCCUACCUACACACAUCUAAAACCAAAUUUUCUUUAAUUUUUUGACACCGAAUAUACCGAUAUGGGCACAAUGAUGUCAGUUAUCGUCGUAAAUUUCGGUAUGGCUAAAUUUUCGAUUUAUCGCCCAUCCCUAGUUGGGAUGGUCAAAUAUAAAACAGCCCUUUUUUGUAACUAGCAGUAAUAAUUUUAUGAGCCCUUUAUCUGAAAUUGGACAAAUGUAUGACGCAUGUAUGUAAAUGUAUGAGAUGUAUGACAUUUAACAAAGAUUGUCUGCUGGAAAACAAAUUAAAAAAAUCAUAGUUUUACAGAAUACUGUCCUGCCAUCAGGAUAACCAGAGUUUUAUAAUUAGCUAUGGUUUCAUACAUGCAUAAUAAUGCUACAUCAGUCUUGCUUGAAAUCAAAAUCAACUUCAGAGUCACACAUUUGAUUGGAUUAUCGUUGCUAACCUUACUAAACCAGUGACAGAUACAGGUACAGACACUAGUCCAAAGAAAGUUCUGACCUCUGAUUAAGUCAUCUCAUCGUCACACCCACAGGCGUUUCCUGUGUGUCUGAGAGUUUGAUGCGUCAAGGUUGACAGUUGCCACAAGACAUUUAGCAGAGUGGCCAGCACCCAGCUCGUAAUAUUUUUCACAGACGUCUGGAUGUCACUGAGGGGCUUUUAAUGCAAUAAGCACAGGUUUCAUGCAGUGGCUCUUAUUUUAUUUGAUUAAAAUGAAGAAAAACAGACCUAUCAUCACAUCUGAAAGGAACAUUUUUUAUGUACUUGCCUGUCAUUAUAUCUGGGAUCAUAUAAAGUUGAAGUCGAGUAGAGUGGAUCAGUCUAGGCCUGGUGGAGCAUCGUUCCACAGCCCUCUGGUGGUGUGUGCUUUUCAUCUUCUUGACUCCCUGGUCAGUUGUCUGCUCUUUGGAAAGAACACAUUCCAGGGCCAUUAGGGCAGGGAUCGCUUUCAGCUGUAGGUGUAGUCUAUACACCCACUGUUCUUCAAAGGGAGGUCAAACCUUGACUGCCUUCUCCACUAGUUUCCACUGGUUUGCUGUCAGUGAAGUUGGGAGUUCUCCAUAGAAUAUUUUGUUUCCAGAUGAACUGAUUGUGUUAAAUGCAGCUCCACUGCUACCACAGAACAGUUAUAUCGCAUGUAUUGUUUGGUCGGACAGUUUUUUCUUUCUAGUUUUGAAUUUUUCCACACUGCUGACAUUUUAGCCCCAUGAGAGCUAAUGCUGAGUUACUCUUGCAUUUUGCUACAUUUGCUGAUCCCUGAUCAGUUUGAAAAACACCCUAAUCAACUCCGAUUGUACAGUUAAAGUCAGGAUUAUCCUUAUAUAUGCAGUAUAUAUAUAAUUUUUUAAAUCUAACCUUUAUUUAACCAGGUAAGAAACCCAUUGAGAUCGAGAUCUCUUUUACAAGGGUGACUUGGCCAAGAGGUCAGCAGAACACGUUACAAUGAUAAUAUUACAAUUCAGAGACAGAGAAUAUGCAGGUGUAGUUUGAUGAGGGGAGGUGGUUAUUCGGCUUGUUUACUAGGACCUAAGCCUCACACAUAGUGGUCUUGUGUGCUUGUGUUUGAUAUGGUGGGAUUCCUAUUUCAAAACAAAAAACACAAUCUAUGUUUUGAAAUUUUACAGUUUGUAAAUUACCACACAUUAGCUUCUCAUAUGCAUAAAGUGAGGUGUACUGAUAUCCUCUCUGGUCUCUAAGUGUAUGUAUUACAUUGUCUCCUGUCUGCUUAUGAAUAGUUUUGGUGUUCAAUUCUCACACCUGGCUUGACAUUUUCAUGGUUUUAUUUAUACUUUGCGGUACUUAUGUUACUCAUAUGUGCAUAAAUCCUUGCCCUCAUCAUCACUGUUUACGAACAGUAUAGCAUAACUCUAUUUCUUUUCUCUGUAAACAGUGAAAUUGUAAUGAGAAAAAGCGUGAAUAAGAGAGUCUCAUAAAAGUUUGAAAUGACGAGGCUCUUGCGUUUUCUGUUGCUACUGUGUAAACUGAGACUGAAUGCUUUGUUGACGUUUUCCUGAAAGUCAGGUCAGAAAAAAUGUAGCUUCUCGCUCUUUGUACCACCCGUCACAGUAGUGUCGCUGGUUUGUUGUUUUUCCCCUUCUUUGUUGAAGCUGGAAAUUCUGUAACUCACUAUUUUGUCAUGCAUAAAAAUCUGAAAGUACUUCAGAGAGAUGUUCCAAAUGCUUUCUUUGCCUCAGUAUUGUGCUGUUGUUGUAACUGUGUGAUUGACAGCAGUUGGCAUGCUGAUCUCUGGCAGGGGCACAGAGAGACAAUGAAAACAAACAAACCCUAACCCUGGGAACUGUGGCUAACAAGCCUUUGACAUGUUUUGUAAGAUAUUAUUAGCAGCUGUUUCCAUGAGUAAAGGCCACGUGCUAUUGGCUAAACAUAAAAAAAGAAAUACUAGAAAGUCUCAAGCUGUUGUUGUAAUUUUCAUGUACAAUGUGUUUGAUACUAUCUACAACAGUUUGAUACUGUUUAUCAGAAUAUCUCAACAAAUAUUGAUUAGGUUGAUGUGAAUUGCCCAAUGGACUAAGACUUUUGGCGUCCCUCACAGGAUGAACUGUAAUAACCUUUAAUCUUGUGAACUUGUAAUCUAUCACCAUCAAGAGCUCCAAGUGUCACUGUUGCAAUCAUUUAUCAAAGAUCUGCUAAAGUAAUGACAUUUUCAGCAGUCACAGGCAUCAUGAUAGUAAGCAGACACAUUAAAGGACAGGUAAACACUGUCAACUUACACCUGCUUCAUGUUAGUAGCAUUGCUUUUACUAAUUAGUUGUACUUAGAGUUUUGCAUAUCUGUGUCCUCUUACUCUGCAUCCUUUCAGAUUUUUUUUUUCUGUUGACAGUCUUCAUCUUACGAAGGAGUAUUAGGGCCAUAUUAAGAAAAAAAAAGACUUAAAGAUUAAAAUAAUUAAUUUACGAGAAUAAAAUAAUUACUUUCGAGAAUAAAGUCGUAAUAAAGUAAUUACUUGCAAGAAUAGAGUCGUAAUAAAAUCAUUAUGAUACUCAUGAUAAUGUUGUGCUGAUGUGCUAAAAGAUAAAGAAUCUCUUUGAUUGAGAAACCUUUAUUGAAGUAAAUUUUCAUGAAAUGCGCCAUGGCUUUUAUUUCAACAACUGUUAUCUGAAACAACAGGUCAGAAUAUGAGGACUUAAUUCUGACUUUAUUCUCAUAAGUAAUUACUUCGUUACGACUUUGUUCUCGUGAGGAAAUAUUUGAUUAUUACUUUAGUCUUGUAAGUAAUGAUUUAACUAAGACUUUUAGCUCAUAAGUAAUUACUUUAUUAUGACUUCAUUCUUGUUAGUAAUGACUGUAUUCCUGUUAGUAAUGACUUUAUUACGACUUCAUUCUUGUUAGUAAUGACUUUAUUUUUGUUAGUAAUGGCUUUAUUAGGACUUUAAUCUUGUUAGUUCUUGUAACUUAACAACUUUAAUCUCAAAGUCUUAUUUUUUUUUCUUAAUGUGGCCCUGAUACUCUGUUGUUUCAUCUUUCCUCUCAUUUUCAAUAAAGUACUUUGUCUUCUUGGGUUUGGGAACCACAGGACCUUGGGCUUUAUUUAUUUAUCAUCUGCAAACAGAAGUAUGAAAAUAUUUUUUAGUUGCUCUAAGUUGCUUUAAAUCCCCGGUAACGCAACAGUAACACACUUGAUUUUUGGAUUAGUUUGGUAUGAGUUGUAUUGAUUAGUUGUGCAUGCCAGUGACAAAGGGGACAAGAGACAAGUAUUUUUGACCUCUAGUCUCAAUGGCCCCAGUUAUGACAGCAAGACGCAGGUUGAAGAGUACCAGAGUCUGCCUUCAACAGUGCCACAUUGUGCCUGAUCAUUCACCUCUCACACUAUUUAGACUUAAUUGGCUGCAGCUGUUUCACCCUCUACAGAAGAUAGGUGCCUCCUGUUCUCUGUACUUUUCAUGCUGAGCUACAUACAUUGUGUGUAAAGAAAAUCUCAGCUUAUGUUUCUUUAUCGUCUUACAGAGGUAUAAUUGUCUGUGUAUGUGCAUUCUAGUUCUUCGUGCGAGUGUAAACAAACACUCAUGCUUUCACUCAUGCCCAUGCAAACUGUACCUGAUGAGCAGUAAAUGGAACGGAGUAGGGCCACCUGGUUCCUGUGUGUUUCGGAGAGCUUUACUUUUAGGGCGAGCCUUGCUACUUAGUUAAACAAAGGGCCUCCAUGUUGGUCCUCUAGAUAAACACACUUUCCUGAGAAAACACGGACACGGUUACACUUUAACCUGCCCAGGGAGGCCUCAGCUACAUCCUCCCGGACAGUUUAGGUCAGACCGGGCUACAGUUCAGACCCGCAGUGAGAAUCAUGCGCUGCACGUGAAACCAUGCUGGCCUGUCAAACAAUGGAGCCUUUGACAACCAUACCCCCCUUCCUCGUCUACAGUACAGUCAGAGUACUGUCUCUCCAGGGCUUGGGUGUCACUCCACAUCUCUGUUGUGCUCCCCUGGAGCUGACCAGCUGGCUUCUAGGCUCUGGGAUGUGAGAGCAGCAGCACAGAGGAGCUACAGUCAAAGUUCAAACCAGAUUAGCCCAGCAGAGGGGCCAGCAGUGACCCAACCCAGUCAAGUCCAGGCUAUUCCUGCAUAAAUAACUUGAUAAGCUGCGCCACUUGAGAGGAGGUUGAACCAGUCUUUUUUAGUCUGACCCUCCCUGGAUAAUCUCAGCUCUGGUCUGGCCCCACGGUCCCACCAAGGGAUGCUUGUGACUUUGACUUUGACUCCUUGGUAGGAGAGUUGAUGGUUUUACAUGCAACAAGGCGCCAAGGGUUCAGUGUCAAACUCAUGCAAAGAAAAACAGCAUUAUGUGAUGUAUAAAGUUAGUUUGAAUCUAUUUUUAUCAAUGAACUUAGAACCCAGAUUGAACACAUUUAUAAGCCUUGCAGCAAAGUUGUGAUAAACAGCUCUAGUUUUUGCAUCUACUAAAGGAAGUGUUUGGCCAAUAGUGACAAAUCCUUCUGCAUUUUUAGGCAUCACUGAAUUCAAUAUUCCAUAUACAAAAAAAAAAAAAAUUACAAGGUAUCUUCAUGAAGUUUAAUUAUAGUUCUGGGAGGCUUAUUUGUAUAAUGACAGUGUUGAAUGUCAUUAAUAAAAAUGUCAGUCGUACGUGGAUUACAGGUGCUGUCUGCUAUGUUUAGUUAAGUCUGAGUCUUAUCACAUGUUUUCGCUCACUAUCUCUGCGCAUGUUAAACACAAAAUGAAAGGAGUAAGUGAACAGCAUAUCACUCUGCCUAUAUUACUGGAUAAACAAAAGGUUUGACUGGUUAUGCAAGAAGGCAAGAAUCUUGUUUCUGCGCUGAAGUUGACUCUGAAGCUGUUGGAAGUGUAAAGAUAAGGAAAAUGAAGGGUCAAAUGAAGUUAAAAAGCUUCAACAUUUGAAACAAUGAAUAAAGGACUCUUAUCUCUAUGGUAGAUGAUGAACAUAAAUACAUGCAAUAAGUGUUAUCUGAUGGUGUAGUUAUGCAGAGCUGCCACCUCCCCCUCGGCACAGCGUCAGUCGUGUAAACACACAGCGCUCUGGAGGAAUGCUGGACUCUGUGACCUCCCGCCCCGAGUGCUGUUACAGUGCACUGAGUUCAGUGAAACAGCCCGCCCCAUGCUGCGCCUCCCCAAAGCUCCGCCUCACCCUAUCCCAGCCUGAGGCCCCACAGGGUGGAAAAAAACACACCUCCCUCACCCAACACCACCACAGCCUCCUCAAAUACACACACACACAUACACAAACAUGAACGGACAGACACACACAGACAUAAAGACAGACAAGUGCUCCCUUUCUUUACCCCCCAGCUGUCAGAGCUGUAUGUUCUUGUAGCUUCAACAACUUUGCCAUUUGAGGAUCUACUUGCAAGGUAGUUUAGCGUACUUCUCCCUUUUUCAAUUGUGUUAUCCGGCAGAGUGAAGACGAAUAAUAAAAACAGAAGUUCCAAACUUUAGUGAGCUCUUUAAAUUUUCAGUAAAAACUCAAAAUCACAUCCAAAUACUAUGAAACGUUGGAAGCCUGUUCUCUUUGUCAUGAGUAUCUGAAAUCUAUGAAUGAAAAGCACACAGAAAAAAACAGAAACAAGCUAGAUUAUUUUAUUUUUCUCAAGAAAUAAGCUCUGUCACUGACUCCAACUAAACAUCCAAUGCAUGUAGUUUGGUGGAGGCAUAGUAUAAGUAGGGUCAAGCAGACACUGCCCUCUGCUGGAGAAUGACUGAGGAGGGAGGGCAGCUGAACAUCGAAGAGAUGUGAGUUUGAUGAAGUCGCACACAAAGUAAUGAGGAACCCAUGCAAGGCAGAGACGGUGAAGUCCAGGACUGAUAGAAAUUCAAUGUAAUCUCUAAUAGCUGCACGCCAGCUGUAACCCCCUUCAGUGGAUUCUUUCAUUGAUCGCAGAGAAGGCACAGUAAAGCGAACAUCAGUGAUUACCACUCUGCUGCACCUCAUCAUAUUAAACACAAGGGGCCCUACACAUGUGUGCGAUACCCAUGGACACACACACACGCACGCACGUGUGCAGACUCACAUGCACACACAGGCACACAGUCACAGUUAGCUGUUGUCUGAGGAAACGAGGAGCUGUCUGGUGCCAUAGCAACCAAUGCGGAUAUCCCACCCUACCAGAGUGAGGGCGAAAAAAACAGAAAUGGCAGUGACAGAUUGACAAGACCCUAAUGAGAUCUUCCACACAGACACUAAUCUAUCUAUCUAUCUAUCUAUCUAUCUAUCUAUCUAUCUAUCUAUCUAUCUAUCUAUCUAUCUAUCUAUCUAUCUAUCUAUCUAUCUAUCUAUCUAUCUAUCUAUCUAUCUAUCUAUCUAUCUAUCUAUCUAUCUAUCUAUCUAUCUUGUCUGUCCAUCUGUCUGAGUAAUACUGUAUGUGUGUCUGUCUGCCACUCUAUCAGCUUGUCUGGCACUUUGUCACAGUGAGACUAAAUGGAGAAGUGGAAGCAUCAAAGUGCAGACGAUGGCGACAUCUGAGAAUUUGAGAAAACACAAUAUAAGAAACAGAAUAGCUGAGCGUGGGUGAGGGGAAGUGGGGAGAGCACAAACUGGUGGGGUCGGAGCGAUGAAAUGAGGCAAGAAGAAAAGACUCUGACUACUCUCUGGGGCAUGUCUGUCCAUCACAAGCCUGCAAACACAGACACUGCCGCAGUCUGCACCAGCCUGCCUUCUUCACCAGCGUGACUCCCAUUUGAACUGCAAUCUCAUAUGUAAUGCUAUUAUUCUGGCCCAUAUUCCAGGUUACAUAACACUCCAAGCCAAAUCCUGCCCUCAAUCUGUGAAAAAACAGCCACACUAGCUGUGAUAAAAAUAUAAGACUUAGUAUUACUUCUGAGGCACCAGAAUAAAACAGUCCAACAUUCCCAUAUCGUGUAAAGUCGGUGUUUUACUCAGGUAAUUGUUGCAUGUAUGCUCUGUUUACGGUUGUUUUUGUCUCUCAUAGGUGGCUGCUGGAGUUCAGAAGUGAAUGGAAAGAAGACACCAUGUACUAACUGGUAAGUUGAGACUUAAUCAAGCCUAAAUUCCCGCGGCUGGCCUGCAGGUGGAAGUCACACCCACUGCUGUGUUUGCUCAACACAGUACAAUACUAGCACCUACACCAAAACUCUCCACUCCCAUUUUUACCAAUCCUGUCUGCCAGGUUUUGGUGUGAUGUGGCAAUGCGACAUAAUAUUAAUACUCCCUCAACUUUUGCACCAAUCUGUGUAAGUGAGAACCUGUGUUUGUUUUUGUUUUCACCUCAUGAUCUUGAUGCUAUUUAUGUCGGUAGUAUUCGGCAAAAGACCUCACGGAGUGACUCACAGCACUGGUGUGACCUAUUUAUUUCUUUUCUUUUCUUUCUUUCUUUUUUUUUAUACCAUGGUGUCACUCUGAGGUCUAUGUGCAAUGCCAGCCUACUGUUGAGCUUUGAUGUGCUGCCCUGAAGUGAGCCCGGAGCUCGUCAGCGAGUCUGUUCAGUCAGAAAGGAUUCAAUUGAGACUUGUGAAGAGGCCAUGACUUUGACUUAUCUGCAAAAAAAAGUGGAUUAUAGCUUAAAAUUAACAUGUCUCUCUUCCUAUUAUGGAGUGGUAUGACCCCUUAUUCUGUGAUCAUCAUAAGACAGAUAACCCUCAGUGUAAACCCAAAUGAACAGCUUUUCAAAAUCCUUUUCCUUAAAAUACUUUAUCCUCGUAUGACCCAGUUUCAUCAUUUUGAUGCGACUUGCUCGGAUAAAUUUGCACAUUACAUUUGACUCAGUAAAUCACAAGCUAAGCACAGACGCUUUUGCCAUCCGUUGCACUCGACUAUCUGUGAAUGAAAUUCAAGGGUAGUGAGAGGCAUCCACUUGCUCCACUGUCCCCAUUCUGGCUCUCGGUUACCUGGGAUGGCCCUGGCUUCCUCCUCCUCCUCCCCCUCCUCUUCCUCCUCCUCCUCCUCCUACUGUUUUACGAGCACAGCCCCACCUGAUGCGCACAUCUGCUUGCCCACUCAUCUACGCCACAGCUUUGGUAGGUGGGUGAUUGGCGGGGGUGGAGUGGGGUCGGCGCAUCAGCCAAUCACAUGCAUAAUCGUGACAGCGUUGGAGUGAUUUGACACUUGUGUCUGGCCAAUCACAGAGCACUGCAGCAAAGAAAGCAGCAGUAGUUAGAAAAAAAAAAGAGUAAGUGCAGUAAGAAUUUAUUCAAAGGGGAAAUCUUUGCAAUGCUGUAUUUUUUCACAUUUUACGAGUCUCAGUGCUAUGUAUACGACUUUACCAACAAAAUUCGUGCAUAAUGACAAAACUCGAGUGAGAGCAUGUAAAAAGUGUUCAUCAGAAACACACAAGAUAUGCAAAUAUCCACUGGGUGUGAGGUGUCUCCUAGACUAUCAUCCAUUUUAUCUCCUUUUAUUCCAUCUUUUGAUUACUUCUCAGCUCACCUUGAUCUCAAACAGAUCUGUAUGAUCAUCUGGCACAAUAAAUAAGGAUAACAACCACACACAUUCAUCCAACAUCAGUGUGACAGCGUUUAGUUGUUGUUAGGAGAGGAACCAGAUGAUGCUACGGUUGAAAUAUUGACACAGUGGAACAUAAAAACAAACAUUGUAUGUCGUAUUGAAUGUACAAUCAAAAUAACUCUGUAAGCUGUGUGCCUUCUAGUGAAUUCACUUGCAUAUCUAUGAUGAUAUAAAAACUUUAAAUCAGAAAAUUGAAAUGGAUGUUUACUUUGUGCAGAGCAGUACCAGAAUUUUAGAUAAUGGUGCAGGUCAGGGGAAUUUUCAGUGCAUACUGUAUCCCUAAAAGAUUAAUUUUUCACCAUCCUUCCAUAAAUUACUAACUCUUUUGUUAAAGUAUGAUUUAGCAUGAAAAAAACUUUGGUGUAGAUUCUUGUUGUGGAUAAAAUCUUUCUAAGAAUGUUGCAGAUUUUUAGCAGAGAUAUGCUUCCCCUCACAAUGAAAUUACUAUUAUUUUUUUCUGUCAGCCUAAACUCAUUUUAGUUUAUUAAAAGAAUCAGCUUGUAUUCGUCAGGUCUGUUUACCACACAGUGGAAUAUUUUGUAUUUUGUCUUUAGUUUAGCACAGAAGAAACCUCUUUGGUUCCAGUAAAGGUAAACCGAUUCCAUCGUCUCUGUGGGAUGUUGCAGUGUUUGCUCGUUGAAUACAUUUCUUGAGUCAGGUGAAGGAGGUUUUUACAGCGGAAGCCAGUAUGUAUGAACAGUUUGAUCAGAUAGCACACAAGGUUAUUUUAUUAUGUUUUUCGAAAUUCAGCAGUAAAUGUUGAUGACGAUUUUAUAGAUUCACAGAGAGAAAGAGAGAGGCAUCACUGAGAUUCUUACCAUUUUCACAAGACACGACAAGAAUUUAUCUUCUUUAGAUUGACAUGGUCAUGGCCAUUUGACUGAACUGCCUUUUCACUUCACAGUUGAAUUCAGAGAAAUGAUUCAUGAAAGUAAAGCCAACACAACUAUGUCUGUAUACAGAAGAAAGAUCCCUCAUAUUAAUAAGAGAAUAAGGAUAUUAUAGGUGUGUGACUGGUGUUUACUAUCUGGUUUGAUGCCAUUCAAAUGUGUCUCUCGGUGAUCUUUAAUAUUGUGUAACAGUUCUGUGAAUGUCCUGAUUUGUUGAUGUGUUUUUCUUGGACAAUUAUUUAAUCUUGGUCAGUGAGGCUUGACUGAAAAAUGAUGAUUCUAUACUUGGUCUAAAUCCUGCUCAGUCUGCAGUUGAGUCUGACAGUCCACUGUGGUGUUAUCAUAAUUAAGCUUUCAGAAAUGUGAUUGAAGGGCGCAUCGUAUAUUGUCCUCUCACUGUGGAGAGAGAGACUGUAGACCAUGUCUGUCUGUGUGCGUGUGUGUGUGUCCCUCCCUCACAGCCCUCACAGCCUUACAGCCUCACACACACAUGACUCACAUUGUAAUGAGUGUGUGUGUGUGUGUGUGUGUUCUCACUUGUACGUCUGCUCUGGAAAGGCUAAGCAGCGCAGGCUGAAGUGCAGACUUGGGUGGAUCUGUGUCUGUGGACCUCUCCACUGCACAAGAUGAUGACAAAGAGGUUUGUGCUGGACUGUUAUACAUCAAGAGUGUGUGUGUGUGUUUGUGGUUGUGGUCAAGGAUGUGAUUCAUUGAGAGUUUGUCUCAUGUGUUCACUACAAGAGAAAGUGCAACUGAGUCAUCAGACGGACACAAUCGUUCAGGAAACCGCAGGAGUGUCUCCACACUCUGUUGGCGUAAGCACGCACACACAUUCAUGCACACACAGUCACACAGCGGAGUUUCUUGAUUGAUGAAAUUAGGUCUUUUUUUCCUGCUCGGUAUGACUUCGCAAUGUUCGGAAUGACGCCCCUGAUGGUUGUGGAAAGACACACCUUACAGAGAUUUUUGAUUCAUAGCUUUGAGAAAAAAGCAGAAGAGAGACACAGACAGGGUUGAGUCACUUCUCUGAACUACUGACCCACAGUUGAAGAGGAGGACAGGGAAACUAAUCUAGUCAAAUCGUGAACGAAGGGAUGUAAUGAAAGACAAAUAUCCCAAAUUUGAUGUGUCUUACCUUUUGAUCCUUCAAGACUUUCACCAAUUAUUUUAUUGAAUUACUAUCAUGGAUGAUUGUCAAAGUCAACCGCUCUGAGGUAAAAUAUGUGUGUAACCAGUCUGCAUUGACACACAGAUGUUCCACUGAUUAAUUGAUUAGGUGGUAACUUUAAGAAAUUAGGUUCAGGAUUGUAUAGAUGUUGUGGUGUUAUUUCUGUUUACAAUCAUUUAUAGUGUGAUCAUUAAACAGGAAGAUAUCUGCUCUGAAUAACAGGGGUAAGAGCGUUGUGUUGAUAAAGUUACCUUUUUGUAAUCUAUGGUAGAAAGAGGGUCGGCUGAGUUGCAUAUUUUUUCAUCCACAACUAUUAUCUUUGAUCGCUGCGAUCAGUUUGUGCACAUCCUCAUGAAUCUGUUUACCUUUUUUGGCUCAAUAAAAAGUCAAAUAUACUUCUUUGAGAUUUGAGUGACCUUUUUUGGUUAAAUAGGUCCAACCUCAGCCUCUCAGAAGCUUAUUGUUCUCUACAAGUUAGCUUUGAUUUAUUAUUGAAUAUAUACUAACUUGGAGUGAUGUCUUGUCACUGGAAAUGAAGACAAUCAUGUUUGUCAUAAAAAACUGGAUGACAGAGACAAACAUUAGUCGCUCAUUUGGAUUGGAUUUCAUGGAUUUACUUUUAGCCUUACAUAAAUGUUUGACCUCUUAAAGGGACAUUUCUUCUUUUUUAAUGAGGGUUGUAUUCGGAACUUGUCAAUAAUUUCCUCAGUAAUUGUAUCACCCAUCAGGGAUGCCGGUUAAGUCGGGCCCUUUUGUUGAGCAAGUUCCUGGAGAACUGGAACGGAAGCUGGCUAUCAGCUGCAGAACAAAGGGGCCAGCUCGACUAUGUAAUUUAGCUAAUUUUAACGAACUCCAGCCAAAGCACGGUUCUGGUGUAAGUGAACACUGUUUGGAAACUUUUAGCAUUUUACUCUGCAGUCAGAAGACCCAUCUGUUUUUGCACAUUUACGGAUGUGACACGUCUUCUUUUGCCUGCAUCCCAUUGAUCGGCCAGACAGUGUUAUAAUAUAGGAUUUGAUUUGAUUUAUUUUGGAUCCACCAUUAGUUACAACAAGAUAUGCAGUAACUGUUCCUCCUGGGGUCCUUAUCUUCUUUUCCAUUUUCCAUCUGAGCUUAGACAUAUACUUUGAAAAAAAAGUGAAGAAACAAAAAAGAAAAACAGAACUUAUCUUAGGGAUAACAAAAAAAAUCAUAUAAUACGAUUUUUUUAUAUCUCUAUAUCAAUAUCUUAGUCUGACAUUAUUUUACGCCACAGGAAGAUUACUGAAUGUAAAGAUUUGAUGUUAUUUAGAAUUCAAGCAAAAAAAGACGGGUUUAGGAUCCUGUGGCGUCUUCAGGGUGGUCAAAACCCACCACCACGACCACAGAACAAGUUGAAUUUAAAAAAUAACCAUCAAUAUAAAGACUCAAACAAAAUGUGUCAUUUAUCUUUCCCAAGAAAACAAACAAAAAAUGAAGAGAAGCAGCCCUGUUCCCCCCACAGACUGCAGAAAGAGAAAAUCAUUGGCAUGGAUGUCAGUUUCUCUGAGUAAUGCAGUGUUGCUGAUUGAAAAGAGAGAGAUAUGAUUUAAAGUUGACUGUCAUCCAGGAGCACCUGCACAACCUGCUAUCGAGAUGACCAAUUAACUGUCAGUUAAUGCCUCUUUGUGCAUACUUUACAAGCACACACACGCACUCGAACACCUGCUGCAAGUCAUGCAUAUUGAGUUAGACUGACAAUGCAGAUCAUGUAUGAAUUGCACAACAUCACACAGUAAAGAAAGUAGAUUUUCCUUUUAAGCUCAAGCAGUCCAGUCCAAAUUAGGGAAAUAACCCUGUUCAUUGCUUUUACAGUAAUAACUACGUUUUCUGUUGUUUAGAUAAGGGGUCAGGAAUAAUGAAGAUUUAUUAUAAUACAGGUGGCUUUAAUCCUAGUCCUUUCUUGAGUCGACCUUUUUCUGAAUAAACUGUUAUACUGCGACAGAAAGCUGCACGAUUUAGUUACCACUUGUUUGUUGAGUCUCGUUUUUUUUUUUUCAGACUAAUUGCAGCCGUCUCCUCGAUUCAGAUCACUGCCUGUCCUUUCCCUCCCCUGCAAGCAGACGCGUGUAACGGUCUGGUAAUGUGUGUGUAAUGUUUGGCAUUUUCCAAACCGGAGUGCUCCGCUAUUUGUUUAUUAAAAUGUCUCAGUGACGCAGCUUCCAGAGUGCGACGUCCAGAAUGAAAAGGAGUAACUUGUCAGAGGUUUGAGGCGUGACCACAGACUGCAGACGUUGAGAGGAGGCUGUGUCUGUGACAUCACCCCCUGGUGUCUGAAGGGAGGGUUUCAGACUUUCAUUUGGGCUGGGCAAUAGGGAUGCAGUCUGCCGUGGCAAACAAGAGUUAACUCAAAUCACUGACUGUGAGAGGCUCAGAGGCCUGUCAGUUAAGACUCCCCAGAGCUUGCCAAGAAUUUUUAUCUUCGCUUCCUCUUUUGAUAUUGAGAAUCUCCUGAUAACAGGUCUGGUUUGGUAUAUACGGUUUCUGUGAGGUUUUUUUUUUGCCAGGUAUGAAACAGACAAAACAAAAACUGAUGCCUCUGUAUGAAGUACAAAAGGACAUGAAACCACCAGGAAUAAGGCUGACCAUAUAGGUAAAAGCAUGUAUUAACUAUUAGACUAUUUAUUGGAAUACUUUUUAAUAUAUUUCUAUCUUUAUAUUUGACAAAGUACAGUACAGAAGUAUUUUUAUAUUGUCUAUUCUGUAUUGUCCAAGUUGUUUGUUUUUUUGUGGGACAGUGUAUGAAUUUGUGUAUGGCUGUUGUCUUUGUGUAUGUUUUUUAAACUCACUGUAAAUGAAUUUCCUUACAAGGAAAAUAAAUUCAACCUUACCUAACCUUAAAGAUGAUGAAAUAAAUCUGAAUAGGCUUAACAUUAAUUUGACGAGGUCAAUGUUUACCCCAUUGAUGGAUCAAUCCAAACUUAGAGCUAUAACAUUUUACACAACAGAGAUUCCCAGAAAGUAAUAUAUUAAUCUCGUCGAAAUAUUGCUCCAAGAAAAAAAUAUUGGAUGCUCCAUGUGUAGAGACUCUUGUUUACAGUUAGGCAGCUUUUCGCAUGCUGUUUUGCACUCUCUGAAUAAAUGCAUAAAAGCCAGACAAAGUUAAAAUUGAUGCCAGCUACAAGUUUUAAAAGAAGUUAGAACAGGAGCAACAAAACACAAGUUCCCUGACCAGGUAUUAAAAAAGGAAAUCAAGAAAGGUGAAGUCUCUCAGAAGUAAAAAUGGGAAUAGGUCAUUAGAGGGAUAUUCCGGCGUAAAAUAAUUUAGGGUCAAACACACCCUAACACUGAGUUAGAACCCCCCCGAAUGUUGCCGACCGCUUGCUUCUCUAGUUAUACCAACUUAAGUAAUGACUGCACGAUAGCAAUACACAGCGGUCUGAGGAGCCACACACAAACCUUAUCCAAAACGCCACUCUAUAGCCACAAAUAAUGCUCAGAACAGCACCUAACUUCACCUAACCACCUAACCAAACAUCUUUUUAACUUUGCCUGAUUUCUUUAGCAAAGAGACUAAAUACAACUCACCUACUCUCUUCCAGCUGCCGCUUGUUUGUAGCGAGACCUCGGACCAGUCCAUUAUGGACUGCUGCGGGGUGAUGCAGCUGAUUUAAGAUGGUCCACAGAAUGAGGAGUAGUCCUUCACCAAAGGGGCAAGGCUGGGAACUGAUACAAAUACUGGUACUGAAUGGCCAUGAUCUUUAGGUCCUCAGAUAGCACUCCAUUAAAACAGCCAUGGCUUUGUCGUAAAAUUCACUGCAUGACUAAAAACCACGCUUAGAUACCAUUCUCUUUAAAGACAGUUUGUUGCUGCAUCCAAAACCUGUGCCAUGCAAAAAGGAAACCAUGUAUAAAAACAAUCAAAAGCACCAACCAUUGAGAUGCACUUGGGCCAAAUGGAAGACUGCCCUGUGUUUUGACAUUUAUAAAAUUGAAGUUUUAUAUUGCUGUAUUUUUUGUCUUAAAGACGAGGGGAACCACCCAGCUUGUUAUCAACAUACAGUCCAAAAGCUAGCAUCCAUGAUGGCACAAGUGCCCAUGGCAUAGGUAGCUAACACUUCUGUAAUCAGCACUUAACAGGUUUGAAGGCUUCAUAUGCUGCAAUGAGUUUUUCAGGAAAGACCUCUCAUAUUUCAGUAAGAGCACUUCAAACCCCAUUCUGCACGUAUAACACAACAUGGCUCUACAGCAUAACAGUCAGGGGGACAAGUCAGGUGACCUGACUUGUCAUCCUUUCAAAACAUUUGGCUUAACAUGACACAGAAACUACUAUGGAGAGGACCACAUACUGUUUAUCAGCUGACAUCUUAAAUCAGGCAAGAAUGAGUCAGCAUCUCACUUUUAUAGCUCUAUACUCUGGUCUCCUACAUUCCUAAAUGUUUACAAUAUUGUGAAAAAGUAGAAGAGAUGAUCCAAUACAACGGCCAACAUGUUUGUCUCCAAAUUUCCUUGAAUCUCAGUGUUGAGACCAAAUUUAAAAUGAGAAUGCAUUUUUUCAUAAAGGAGUAAGUAAGUUUUCUGUUUUAACAUUUGACUUGUUGUCUUUUUACAAAAUGAAAUGAAACGAAGGUUUGAAUGAUAAGCAAACAAUCAAAAACAGUUUUUAAUCAACAUUUUAAACUGAGUCUCAGCUUUGCUGAAGUUGAGGUUGUAUCAUUUUUGGUCAUUCUGCAUUUAUUUAAUGGCAAAAGCAGAGGAGGGACAGGAAGAGAGGGGGUGAUGUGCUGCAAAGGCAGUGAUAAAAAGCUUCACGCUCCACCAGGUGAGAGCUAUCCGGGUGCUCUUCUGCCCUGGAUACAAUCAUUAUAUUAUUUAUAAUACUUUACUACAGUGCUGUUGUCUGCUGCAAUUAGGUAAUACCAGGUUUUGACAUCCUAAAUACCCACAAUGAAUAAUUAUCACGUUAAAUAAAGUUAGUUUUGAGAACCUCUAUUAGCUCUGAUUUGGUACUGUAUCAUUUGAUCAGUAGUUGCCCAAAUUGCCCUUAAUUGUUUGUGGCUCAGUUGCACAAGCUCACUUGAUGAUUCUCAGAGACGUUUAUGCAAAUGAAGCUGUGGCACAAAUAUGCCCCCAGUAAUAAUACGAGAAGAGAACUAUGCCAAUGACUAGCAAUUGAAGCAUAAUUUACACACACAGAUGGAGGUCCUGCAGCAGUCAUCAUAGUUAAAAGGAGAACAUUCAGAAAGCAGUCUUAAAAGCAGUCUCAAAAGACCUGCACCUUUUCCUUUGCUCUGAUUACUAACAGAGUUCACGCCUGACUCUACGAGAAGUUUAUUCAGUAUGUUAGAUAGAUCCUCUCUUGAUGUCACUACCAUUUACAAGUUUAGUUUCUCUGUAUUUUUGCUUUGGCAAAUCUCUAUCUACUCAGGGUGGGAAUCACCAGUGACGAUACUAUCUUAUUACGAUAUUUGAUACACGAUACGAUAUUAUUGCAAUUUUUAACAUUUUGCAGUACAGUAAGUAUUUUGAUACAAUAUAUUGCGAUUUAUACAUUUCUUUUCAACUGUUUAGCUAAUUUAGCGUUUGUCUUUCCUUUAUGUUUGUCUGAUUUACGCUGUAUUUUAUUUUCAUGUCGUACAUCUUGCAAACCUUUGGUCGUGUUCACACCUAAAGGUCCAUUUCCUGAUUCGAAUCCAAGGCAAGACGAUACAUUUGUUUUGAUUGGUUAACUGGUCCUGUUUGCGUUCACAAAGGACAAAUUCAAUCGCUCCAGAAAAUGGAACCGUAAGUCACGUGACCGCGAAUAUCGUUCGGCUAUUGGUCAUUACUUUAUGCUGGAAUACAAACCCCGCUCUGCUGUCUUCACCUGUCAUGGAGCAUCGUAGACUGAUUUUGCUUUUGCUACUCAUCUGGAGUGUGUAUCAGAAGACGCUAGUCGAUCGCACGAAUGAACGGCUCGUUAGCCAGCGAGCGUGAACUGCAACAUUAAUUGAUACAUUCCGGAGUAGACAUGCUGCAAACAACAGACGGAUAAAGACGAGACGGCGACAGGCAUUAAUUAUGUGUGUGGUGCGUUUCCUGUGAUUGGUGUGGAUGACAUUCACACCAGAAAUGAACCGCUCCAGAGUUCACUUGAAAGCGGUCCGAGACCACCUCUUCAGGCGGACCAGAGUUUGUUUAUUUGGUACGCACCAGAGUUCGAGGUUAGCGUUCACACCGACCCAAACGAACCGCACCAAGGGGGUAAAUGGUCCAGGGUUCAGUUCAACCUGAGGGUGGUGUGAACGCGCCCUUAUUUGUUGCAGUAACUUUCUCCUGCUCUAUGAUGUCAUCUCUGCCGACCUCACAGUUGAAUUUAUUUUUCCAUUAUCAUAGAUUUGACUUCAUGUUUACAAUUAAUUUGAAAAAAAUCGAUACUUGGUAAAUGAGACGAUAUGAUUUAUCACCAGGCAAAAUAUCACAAUACUAUGCUGUGUCGAUUUUUUCUCCCACCCCUACUAUCUACAUUUCAAAUAAGGCUGUUAAAAACAAGGUACACUGUGCAAUAUUCUGCGACAGGAUUCCUUUAUUCUGUGCUGUAAAAUUGUUGAUUUUGAAACAGGUCAACCAACAUGAAAAUGUCUUUGAGAUGUCUUUGCAGACUAUGUCCUGUCAGCUGCAGUCUAUACAUUAAAUCAGCCUCUCUGUAAAGCCACUAGGAGUCUUGUGGCCAAGCACACCAUUAACUGUGGAAUUAGAAACCCUGAGAAGUUGUUAAUCACCGCAGUCAUUCACAUUCCACAUAGACUCUACUCUGCUCAGGACCUCCAUGAGCUGGGGAUGGGGCAUGGUCUGGGCCAAUGCUAUUGGACCCGAUGGUCUUUAAUUAGAGGGAGAGCUUGGCAGGGACUGAUGGAGGAGAAAGGCUCUCAGGAUGUGAGUCCAGGGUGAGAGGGUUCACACACAAAACACUGGCUUUUCAUCACCGCAUGACUCACUCAGUUUGUGUGUAAAGUGCAGUGUAUGUGUGGAUGUGUGUAAGGCAGAGAAAGUGAGAAAAAGUGUGUGUGUCCACUCGGUACUGUAUACAUGUGUGCGGACAAUGCUGCGCGUGCGUGUGUUUCUUACCUCACUGCUCAGGCAUUCCAGUAGAGAAAGUGGUGUGAAGAGAAAGAGCGGCUCUCACAGUGUGGGUAUUCAUGUCUGUGAACACUGGAGCCCAGUCCGGGCUCCAGUGUUCACAGACAAAGCCUCUCCAGCAGGACCCAGACACACUCACACAGAAAGGGAGCGACAUAAGCAGAGGGACACAGGAUUGGGGGAGACUAGGUAACAAGGGGGAGAAAACAGAGAAGGGGCGGGAGAGGGUAAAUAUGUGGCAGCUCCCUUUCAACUGUGAAUGCAGGUGUGAUGGUUUGUCAUCUAUACUGGACAAAGCAUCACACCUGCUCUGCACUGCAACGGUUUUGUCACCAAAAUGACCAGUUCAUUAAGUCACUGCCCUCAGACUAUGAAGUCCCAAAUUUCAGAGUUAGAGGGGAUAACUGUCACUCAGAUGUAUUGUUCUCUUUCCUCGAAGACAUAACAGCGUUGGAAGACACUUGCACAACCUGCUGCUUACCGCCAUCUUUAUAGUUUUUUUCUAGCGCUGUUGGCAGAGUUCAUAAAUCCACCACAUCUCUCCUCCUAAAAGGGUCCUCCCUCUCUUACUUAUACCAGCCAAUCCCGUCGCUCUCUUUCAGUGCUCUCUACUCCCUCUAGCUUUGAGCCAGCAGCCCAAGCUCUUAGGAUUUCAUGAGACUUUCUUCCACUUGGCCGUCCCGUCACUGCUCCCCCUGCCUGGCCCCUUCCCUAGAUCGGGUAGCCUGGUUCACUGUGUCCUUAAACAACCUGUGUGCAUGUACAGGAAAGGGGCCCCAAAGUGGGGAGGACCAUCUCUAACCCUUCAUUUCGAAAAAGAGACAUAGUCGUACUAGAAAAUGACUGCACUGACUUUUCUUAAUCAAUAAACGUCAGUGCAUCAUUUCCACUGUCUCCAUCACCAAAAAUCUCAGUGUUAUCUGCAGAGUAAAUAUCGACAGGCAGAGUCGAUUUACAUACAAACUCAUCUUUCCGCAUGCGGCUCUUUAACCAGUGCCGUUAAGGGUUUGCUCUAUCUGUUAGAAUCCUUAUAUUUGACUUCAGGGUGAAACCUCAUCAAGGGAUUCGCUCUUGUUGAUUUAAAGCAUUUUAAGCAAGGCUGGGGGUCGAGUUAUUUGAUGAUAUUUCAGGACACAUUUCUUUAUUUUCACCUGGAUUAGAUAAAGGAAAAAAAAAAUCAGUUUUGAAAUUCUUCUUAAUAAAAACUACUUUUUAACACAUGCAGUAAACCACUUUUUUUAAUAGCAGAAACUGUAACUUUUGACUUUGAUCACCAUACUGCUCACCCCAUCUCUCCAUCUAUAUUACUCACCCUCACAUGAGGCACUUGUCGUUUUUGAGAUCGAUGAAUCUAUAGGUGGAUGGAUAGAUGGCACCAGCUCGUAAUAGAUGGCCUCUCCCUGAAUGUGCUGAGUCACAGAGCAUGAGUCUGCAGGAGCCAGAAAACAGGCAGCAGACAGAUGAUGUUGGAUGUGGUUUCUGGAGUGAUAUUAAUGAUCCGGGUAGAGUUAUGCAUCAGCAGUUAUAUGUUUGAAGAGUUAAAGUCGAUAUUACAGACUUUAUGGGCAUGUCAGUGAUUUUGGUGGUCUGUUAAUUCUGCACAUUCACUGCAUUCAUCAUAAAUUUGUACAAACUUUAACAGCUCGGUCUUUACUCAAAGGCUGCACCAGUACAGAUUUAUGUUAGGUGUAUGUUAGAUCCCACACUGAUAAAGUAGCAGCAACUAAAUCAUGUGCAUGUUGUCUAUAGAAAAGGUUUCUGUGGAAGAACGAACAGAUGCUGCUGCUGCUGUUGUUGUUUUUUUCACUGGAUUGCUUCACAGUGUUGGGGAUGGAAGGCAGUAAAUGUUGUCAGUGUGCUCCUAAUUUUUCUUAAGAUAAAUACAACAUCUGAUUAGCUCUUCUGCUGCAAAGAAAGUGUUACAAUCAGUUUCAAGGCUGCACCUCAAAUUAAGUGAGUGAACCUGCUUAAAUGAAGACAAGAGAAGCCUCUGAUUGGGUUUGAUUUGCAGAUGUUUUUGGAUGCACUUCAAGUAUCGGACUGAUUAGAAUCAGCCUCCUUUAUUGUUAGCAAUACAUGUAUAAAUGAAGCUGGCAAUUCUAUGGGUGUUAAGAAAAAAAACAACACUUAUUUCUCUUUAUUAAGAUGAAUAUUUAGAUCACAAAACAGACAAGCCAUCUGAAAUAUAUCUAAGUGAAGUUGGGGUUUGUGGAUUUAAGAAAUUUGAUGAGGAACACACAUGUUAUGGCUCUGUCUUCAUUUUUUUAAAGAUUUUUUCUGCAGCAGCUGUGGUGGUGAAUGAGUUAAGUCUCAUCGGGUAUAUGUCUCAGUAAGUCAUUCAUAACAUAAUGCAGGUGCAGUCUGCAGAGGGGAUGCGCAAUAUUGUUUUCUUGCCAUUUUUUUUUUUCAAACUGAUUUUGGCCAGUAUCAGUAUUGAGAUAUGCACACCAUUUAAUUUUUUUAUCGUAGUGAAUGCAAAGUUUUUCCAGUACCAGAAUUUACAUAUUACUUGUCUAUUUAUUAUAAUUAUAAAUCCUUUUUAAAUGUCUACAUUCAGAAAUGCAUCUAUGGUCUGUUUCUAAGACCUCACAUCACUUCUUUUCAGCAUCAGCACACUCAUGUACAUGAUAAAUGCAUCACUUUUUUUGGUUGAUAAUUAUAUCUGCAGUCAUUUUCAUAUCUGUUUUUAACUUUUUUAGCUAUUUUUUGCCAGUACUGAUAUCAUUCCAGUAACACUGCAGUACCUAAUUUGCACGUCUGCCUCCAUGUUGAAAAAUGCUCGGGCCAGACCAGUUAGUCACAUGCAUGCACACAGACACUAAAACCCUCAUCCAUCAUCGACAUGCACUCUGUCACCUACAGAUAAACCACUGAAGGUAUUACAAAAACUCACACAACCUUUCAUAAAUAUCAGUAACCAGAACAUGAGUGAUUGUCCAGUUAAAUAUAGGGACAUUAAUGGCCCAGUAGACACUCUUGUCAUAUGGCUUUAUGAUCCCUUUGACUCCUGAUCCCCUCAAAUCCCUGAUGACCCAGAGGCCAUGACCCUAGCAUCUGCCAGCAGCCGCAGAAAGGGGGAGGCAAGCGCCGACUGUACCCAGACAGAUGCUCUAUAAGAUAAAGUCUCUGUAUAGUGAAGCCUCUCGUACACUCUCUGUCUCACAGGGCAAGAUGAGUCAUUGGACAUGGAUCCUGACUUCUCUGGCUUCGAGCUACAUUCAAUGAUUUGAAGCAGACUCUUGAGAUAUCUGGAGGGAACGCCCUAUAAGGGUCCUGUUUGGUCUAAUACUGUGUCUCCGAGUAAAAAAUGGAUGCCUGCGUCUGAGGCCAAACUUUUGAACUUUAUUGUGUUGGCUCAGUGUUACCGAGAAAGGGAUGCCAUUUAAAUGCCACUGGUAAUAUUUGGUAUAUUAUGUAAGUGUGUAAAAACUUUCAGCAGUGUCAGAAUAGUGAAACAGACUAGAGAGUUCAGAGAGAGAUCAAGUGAGUAUGCUUAAUCUCAUCUUUCUGUGAACACAUGAUUAUCCUUAUGGUCUCUGGUUUUCAAAAGGAGAUUUGAUCGCUCUUUUCCCUGAAAGUCCACCUUUCUUAAGUUCACUUUAUCAUUGUUCGUUACUGAUGUAGGUCUGUAUAGAAUAAGCAAGACACUUGAGGCUGCCAUGAUUUAAAAAAUUGGAUCCAUACUUCAAACCAUCCCUCCAUCUCUCUCUCUCUCUCUCCUGACAGAAACUUGGCUCUCUUUGGAGCUUCAGAGGACUCUGUACUGCUCCCUUUACAUAUCCAAACAGCUCUUUCAACGGGCAUGUCAGUCAGAAAAAAAUGAUCUAGAAAGACUGGAAGACACCAACUUCUCCAUGCUUCAGAAAGUGGUUGCAUGAACUGGUCUCAGUGAUACACAUGGAGAAAUUGCGAGUUAAUGAUUCAGAAUGUAAAUAUAAAUGGGAAGAAUCUUGGGGUCUCUUCCUGCAACAUUUGCACUUACCUGGACAGCAGUGGUACCUGCAUGUAUUCACUGAUUUUAUUGUAUAUAUGGACAUUUCUAUUGCAGACACCUUGGAUGUAGUGCUAACACAUAUAGGAUGUGCAAUGAUUUUGACCUUGGAACAGGGUUUAGAUGAACUAUUUGUCAUAUAUGUACCUCCUCUCUGGCUGCGAGAGAGAGAGAGUGUGUGUGUGUGUGUGUGUGUGUGUGUGUGUGUGUGUGUGUGUUCUAGUGUAGGAUAUUUUUUUUGUUUGCAUUUUGUUGUCAUAAAAAAACAAAAAAACAAAACAGUCUUUCAUAAGUCAUGGGAUGGCAUAGCCCGUAACAAAGUAUAGCUUUUUCAUAACAACAAAUUUACUCUCAUGAGCAUCUUGGAAUGAAGUUACACACAGAAAAAAAGUAAAAUAAAAAUGUUUAUUUUCUGAUAAUUCAUCAUCAUUCAUAAACACUUUUUUCCUUAGUAUGUUUCCCAAUGAAAAACUGACUCAUGUAUGAAUUUUCAUUACUAUAUGGAUCUGCUUUUUUUAUUUUUUGUUCUUAAGGAAAGGGUUCAGUUGAAAUGUGUGUUAUGUCUCCUUUCAUUUUUAAUACUCCAAUUUAACAAAUUUAAAAUAUUUUUUGCGAUAGUUGCAGUAGAAGAGAAAAAAAAACAUGAAGCGAAGCUUGAAAAUGUUUCUUUGCGUAAUGUUUGACCUUCAUUUUAAUUAAUUUUUGCCAGAGUUUCGUAUUACCUUAACUUUUUGAGUCAAUGGUGAAGGUUCUUGUUUGUUUUUUUUGCAGAAUAGUUAGAUAUCCACUUGCUCACAGCUCACCUUUUUAUGCUUGAGAAAGAUGAGUUGACUCUCUAAGUAGAGGAAACUUAGUUAAUGUUGAAGUUAAUCAUUUAAGUAGAAUCCACAUUUAAGCAUAUCCUAUGUGAGGGCUUCCAUUGUAUUAUUAAUAUGUGCGAUUAUUGGAUCUGCUGCCUGUGCUCUUUAUGUGUGCAGCGGUGCACGAGUUUGAUGUGUGCAAGUAAAGCUGUUUUCUCUCUCCUUCCUGUGUGUUCUGAAAUCUCCUCUGCUGCAGACAGUCUGGGGUGCAGAGAUGGUGGAUGGGGGGGGCGGCGGCGUUGGGGGUGGGGAGGAAGGCAGCGGACGUGGCGGCAGGCCAGAAUCAAUUGGCAGUGUAAUGAGAUGGCCUGGUGCCAGGUAACCAUGGAGCUCCCCUCUCUGCCUGUCUACCAGCACAGAGUUCAAAAUUAAACUGAAUGAAUGAGAGAGAGAGAGACAGAGAGAGAGAGAGAGAGGAGGGAGGGGAAAUACGGGUCUGAAAUGGAAGGAGUGGAGGGUGAUAGAAGGGAAGAAAUGGCUGGAGAGGAGGGUGGUUGAUGAGGCUCUGUGGGCUAUUUUCAAGCACUGCUGAAAAAUUUAACCUCAGCUUCAUUUCAAAGAAGGAAGAGGUAGAGGUAAACUCAAUUCCACCUGAGAUUUAGGUUCACAGGAAUUUUUCAAAAUACCACCGUACCUGGUGAUGCCUGUAUUUCAGUGAAGAAUAAGUGCUCUUCACAAAGAAAAGAAAACGUGACCUUCCUAAGUACUCUUCCUCAAUAUCCACACUGAGCUGCUCCUUUUAAAAGUCUGACGGCAUUAGUGGCUUUAAUGUGCCUGCAAAUCUCAUCCCUUCAUCCCCUUCUCGACCCACACUCUUCCUCCUGUCAUGGAAGAUGUGUUAAUAUUGAGCAUUUGGCUGCAUUCUUAAAGUGAUUAGUUCGAGCCAAUGAAUCCUGUAGAUGAAAAGAAAUUAAGUAAUUAAUACAGUAAUUAGAUCUUUUUCUUCCUCCUACAGCUUUACCCCUGCUAAGUCAUUGUGCUGGCUCCUUUCUUAACUCCCUGUGCAUAAAGCAUGUUAGGAAGCCGUGUGCCACCCAUGAUGGAUGGUUUUACUUGGUAAUUUGUCUCUGUCUGGUGAAUACAAUUUCCUGCUAUGUUGUCAAACACUGAAGGACAGUCAGAGGAUUAUUGAAACUGUAAAAAUUUUAAAUUGGUAUGUUUAUAUUAAGAUUAAAAUUAGAUUUAGCCUACAAUAGCUGGAUGAAGGUGCAGUUUUUGGAGUGUGUCAAGAGGAAACUGAGUUUAUGUCCAAAAGCACAGAAUCAUUCACUACCUCCCUGCUCAGUGAAAUGAAUGCAGUGGACUAUAUAGUGGGCUCAAUAGUGAGCAUAAUAGAAAACAGUUCAGACGUUCUCCUUGCUAGGGAUGCACAAUAUUGGCAAAAACUAAUAAUACUCUAUACGUUUCCUUUUUGGGAAAUAUAAUGCAAAAUGAAAAAUAUUGGUGUUCAUAAAUUGGGUUUUAUAUACCUAUCAACAAUUGAAAUUUCAGUAAUUCUAUUUCCAUCAUUUUAAUCUUGAAAUGUUCUUUUCUGCUUCUAAAUCAAAUCCCCAUCCUACUUUUACCACACUGUGUCCAACUCCCUGACAGCAGCUCCUACACUCACAGGAGAAGCUGAGGGACGAGAUGAGGAGAGAGUGCAGGUGGAGAGACACGUCGCUUCAUAAACUUUACAUAUAAACACAAUUAACUAACCUCACACCAGUCUCAGACAAGGCUAGAAAAUAUGUUUAAUCUCCCCCACUAACCCUGUGAGAGUAACUUCUAACUAAACAAAAAUCCAUUGACUUCUUGUACUAUUCUUGUGGCAAUGAAAUGGUUGACACAAUGAGCCCACCACCAUGCAGAUACAAUAUGUGUCUGGGGUAUUAAAGUUCUCUCUUAGAAUUCAGACAGCACUAUAAAACGGCAUAUUCGCUAAAUUGUGAAUUAUAUGGAGAUGUGGGGGUGAUUUUGGUCCCAGCACGACUUGGAUAUUCGUCUUAAUGGGUUAAGUAGGACUAAAAGUUUGAGCUUGGUGAUACUUGUCUUUUUUUUGUUCUUCGUGUCUCACAAAGAUAAGAUUUUUAAAAAGUUGAUUGAUGUCUUACACAUUUAAAUUUCGGAAGAUGCAGUAUGCCUGCUUUCUUGCACAGAGAGGAAAAAGUUACAAAGUGUGGCGGUUUCAACCCUCAGCACAUCUAAUCAACACAGUCUCUGGACAUACUAUUAGCCACAACAACAAUAAUCUAGUCCCCACCAAACAGGCUUGAGAAACGAAGCAAAUGCGGAAGUGCUCAAAACUGCAGUUACCCAAGUACCCGCUUGACGCUGGUUGCAGAAGCAUUAAAAACCAGAAACAUAUUAAUUUAGGGGGGAAAAAGGCUAUUUCUAGAGCAAAAGACCAUGUUUACAGCCUGGUUCAAAAAAUGUUCUUGGUCUAAGUACUUCUGAUUUCUCACAGCACAAACUGGAGUGAAUUUUCUUCUAAACCAAUUUGCUUUGAAGGUACUAAGAUUACGAGUUUCGCCAGAGAUGUGAGUGGCUUGACUAUUGGUAGAUCCACUAAAAGUUAAGCUGAGUCAGCGUUUACAAUAUGGCAGCAGCUACCAAUAAUCUUUGAAACUCUAUUUAUUAUACAUUCGAUGGUCAACACAGAUUUUGUUUAAUCAGUUACAGAUAUAAACUUAUAAACUAAAAUGGUUCAUAAACUCACAUUUCCAUCAAUAUUGUUGUUUGUCACAUUCUUAGAUUAUCAGUGGCCACAAUAUAUAAGAUUAGAUAAAAUAAGAUUAGAUAAGAAGAGCUUUAUUGAUCCCCAAAGGGAAAUUCAAUAUAUGUCUGUUUCACAGCACUUUUAAAAAAAAUGCUUAUUGCUCACAUGUGCUUUACUUGACUCAUAUUUUAUUUGGUUUUUGAUUAUGUUGAGUCAUAAAAUAGUUUUUUUAUGUCGAGUAAAUAUUUCAGUUGGUUCUUUUUAAGCUUUUUUAAAUUUACUCUCUUAGUCAUAGACACACUUUGAAUAUAGCUGGGCAUGUUUGUUAUUUAUGACCACAUCCCAUUAUACCAACAUCAAACAAUUUUUAUUAAGGGUCCUUUCAGUCUCCUAAACGUCCACCUGUGGAUGUUUGAGAGAAGCGCUGCAUUGAAAACCUUUCAAUAUCAACAUCACUGAUGAUUAAUGAACCUGUUAGAGUAAUCAAAGCAUAGGAAAAAAUACACACAAUGUUAUAGUUAUAUCAAAUAAUGACAAAAAUAGAAUUAAAUACUGGAAACAUGAGGUGUAUUUUAAUUUAAUGAAUCUAAAGGACUUCAAAUUGUGUCAUUGCACAGAAAGAAUAAUGAAAACACUUUUGAUACGCCUGUAGUAAAACAUAGUGCGGUUGUUUUGUAGAUUAUAAAAGAUGGGUUUGAUAAUUUGACAGUCUGGAUUCGUGGUUACACAAGGGUCAAAGGAAGUAUCUGUCUGAUCAAACAUAGAUUGAAAAAGUCAGAAGCUGCAGAUUCCCUGUGUCUCUGAAUUGGGGCCAGCAUCUUCACUGUCUUUAGAAACCAGCUCAAACAGGGCAGAGCCAGCCACAUAUCUCAGGCUGGCCAGAGCCGGCUGAAGCAGGCCAUCCGUUUGCUUUGUGCUGUUUUUCCUGCAGUAGUGCGAGUAAAUGUUAGGCAUGGCUGAACAUACAGGUUUUAUACUGAGUAAGGACUGGAGUGCUGCUUAUCCUGAUAUGACCUCUGCUCUCAAUGGGAUGCUGUCUUCCAAUCAGCGGUAUUUAAAGUGGGAGGGAGACGUGAUAUACUCAUCUGUCUGUACAGUAAAAAGCAUGUUCAGCAGUGGGCCUCAUGGCCUCUGAAAAAUGUCCGGGCACUCUCCACUGAAACGGCCCAGACUUUGAGAGUUUUGAGUGCACAUUGAGAGAGAGAGACGAGACAGUGGGCCAAGAUGUCUGUGGUGUGGAUUAAUGGGGAGGACUGGAGAAAGGGUGCCGCAGUUGUGCGUGAGCAGAAUAUUUGAUGGGGGAAGCAUGAGGAGGGAAAAGUGAGGGACAAGCAACUGCAUGAGAUGGGCAAGAUGAAAGGGGGGAACAGAUAAAAUUGGACUGAAACAUCGAGAUGUAUGAACAUGAAUCAAAAUCUACAGUAUUAAAUACUUCUGCUGUCUGGCGUCUCCCACUGGUGCUUUAUCUUGUCUGAUAGCACUUCACAGUGUGCGCUUUACACUGUGGUCUGUUGCACUGAGCUCAGCACAGGGAUAAAAUCUACAUAAAGGCCUUCACAGAGAGUUGAAAUAAAGCCUGAGUGGGACAUAGAUACCUCUGAAUGAAACACAUACAGAGACCAAUUUGAGUCAAAGAAUGAACAAAGCAAGUCACGUCUUUUGGAGUGCUCGCCCAAAAUAAUUUUGUUUCUGUGAGGCUCUGCUGUGUGCAUAACUGUAACCUCUAUGAAAUAACUGAAGUACUUCUUUUGUCUUUGCUUUUCCCACGAAGUUUCUGGCUCACAGAUGGAUACAGCUCGUGUCCUUAUGUCUGCUUUUGGUUGCUGUGACCAUUCUGGUAAACAACAUUUCUUUGUAGACAAAUGCUGACUUCACAUUCACUGUAGUUUUUUUGAUCCUGGUAUAUUCAUUAAGAUAUUAUUUUAAGUUGUGUGUGAAGCAGAUCAAAGCAUGGAGAUACUGUUAAAACCAAUUAAAUGUUUCAUUCACAUUUUUACUGACUUUACCUUCACUGAUUCUUUUUAAAACAAAAACCAAAUAAAUGUCAGAGAUAUAACUAACUUUUGCAAGCUUUUGAGCGUGGACUGUGGGUGUCUAGGGAAGGAUUUGACAGCUGUAACCAAACUAUUAAUAUCAGCCAUUAUUACUGCCCGCCCCCUGGGGUGUUGGAUUAAGCUUUAGUGACUCUAAAAAGAUUCUGACUUUCCCUGAAAAGUGUGCAGACAAGAACAAAAUCCAAAAAGACGAGCAGUAGUGGACAUGCUGGGAAACAAAAGAUACUCACAAGUACCAUGGUUAUAAAUGACUCUGACAUAUACAUGAGACAUAAAGCUGCUCCGACUGAAAUAUUAUUACAACCUUAGAGGAGAAAUAUAAACAUUAACAAGAAGGUAGUAAAUUACUGAUGUGGCUCAAGUCUCCCUGUGAUAUUCUGUGCAUAAAGUAAACCCUAUAUUCUUACUUGUAUAGAUUAUUGUAGACAUAUACAUAAUUUAACAUGUUUUAGUUGAAUGAAAAGAUUCAGUUUCAUAAAUUUUUGUCAGUCUUAAUGUGAAACUCACUGUUAAAAUGUUGCUGUGCCUCAUAAUCUGAAGUAAGAUUUAAUUCUGGAUUAUAUGUAACCUAAUGAUACACAAACGUGAGGAUGCUUUGAAAAACCAGAUAACUUCAAUAGAGACAACUAUGGCUAAAAUGUUGUGUUAGAAUUUUUUGAUGGCUACAUAGGCACUCCUUUUUUACAGUUUAAAUCAUUUAAUAUAAUGUGAUGUACAUCUAUGCUGAAGCUGUAUAAUUUACCAGUGCCAUAAAACAACACAUGACUCAGAUAGGAGAGUCACCGGGGAGAUUUGUCAUGAAGUCGUCUUUUACUGAAUGUGGCUGUAAAAUGCAAAAUUAAGUCAAAAGUUUGAAAGCCCAACAACAACAAAAGUGUUUCUCUAUUAAAUCGUUCACCUCACCACUUGCUUGACCGAUUGACUUGCUAAGUUACGAGAUUGUACCCCGGCGUCACUGCAGUUUCUUUUACAUUACUGUACAAAUAACGUGGUAUGGUUGUUCCCCUGUUGGUGGCCCACUUUUUAGUGCUCGCUUUCCCAGGCUCUGAGAGUGCCUUUCAGGGGUUACCUUGUGAGAAGUUUGGGGUUAUGCCCAUGUCAGUUGCUCUGUUUUCUUCAACCUUGUGUUUUGGAGAGGCUCUUUUCUGCGACAGGUUUCUUGGCAAUAUCCUGAAAGUCAAAUCUGGUCAUUUAGAUUCAAGUGGUGACCAUGGAACAGACAGCAGCCCAUUGGCAUGCUGUUGCAAAACUAGUAGUCAGGACUCUUGAAAUCUAAAACAGCAUACAUAGACUAGUCUUUUGGAGCAAUGGGGAGACACUUAAGCUAAAAGACACUCAAGUAGGGGAGAUUUUUCUAAGUAUGGUGCUUUAAUUUAGUGCAGGUACACAACAGAGUCAAACAGCGACUUUUAGGUACAAAAUGAUGCUUCCAGUCUUAGCGAAGACGAGGGCUGGAUGAAAUUAUUGUGCAGUGUUUUACAUAGAGAAAGAGGACACCCAUAUAUUUAUAUUGCACUGUAUGAAAGCGGGAUAGAUUUUGAUCAAUUUAUUAGAUUAGUCUUUAGAUCAAUAAUUUGGAGUGUGGAAAAACAAAAUACGUUUGUAAGGUAGCAUGAAUUUAGCAAGCAGCGUUUGAGCGAACGGACCACGUUUUCCUCAGCAAUGUAGCAUUUUUACUCUUCUUCUUGCUCUUCAUGCUCUAAGCCUCAUCAUUUCUUUCUUUUAAGUCUUUGUCAUAUUCUGUAUCUGAGGAAAGUUUUAGGAACAAGGCUCAUAAGCAAUGAACAGAGGCCCGAGAACAGAGCCAUGAGAUACUCCUCUAGAAAUGCCCAAAAUUGGUAUGUAGCACUUUCACUGUGCUGUUCACUCUUAUACUGUGUUGUUAUAGGUGCUAUUCAGGAUGAUAUUCAUGAUCAUCUAAUGUUAUAAGUCUGGGUAGAAAAUAUACAUGGUACAUUAGCGUGAUGAAAUUAAGAGCACACAGUUAAAUUGAAGAAAUUAAAAAAUAUAUAUCUUCAAAUCCAGUGCUUAAAAAAAGAGAUGAAAUACUGAUAAGCUAUCAUUGUCAUAGAAACUAAAAGCGACUUGUCCUGUCAGGUGUUCAGGGUACAUUCAAACAGAGUGUAAUAAAACAUGGGGACAGCACAUUACCAUAGACAGCAGGUCGGAGCGUUAGGAUGUGGGCACACAGUAAGCCGUAUCAUCCUCACUCGUUUGGAGUCGAAGCCUUCCCCUGCAUGGUGGCCCAAAUAGAGUUUCUCAUGGACUCACAGCACAGCUGUAUGCCAAUCCUCUGUUCUGAAAGACGGCUAAUGGGACAAAGGGCACGAGUGAGGCAAAGGGAAACGAGGGAGAGAUGCUUGCUGAGUCGCCCAGCCCUCCCCUGAGCAGGACGGGGAGCACCACUCUUCCUCACUGCUCAGAGCUGCUUUCCCCCGGCCCUCAGCCAUUUUGGAGAGAGGAAAAAGUGGCUGCUUUCUCUCUCCCUCUCUCACUACGUGGCAUAGCUUUGGAAAGGUUUCGGCUGCUGUUUUGUAGGAGCAGAGAAGAGACAUUUUGCAGCUCGCGUUUGGGGGAUAAUGUGUUUGCAGGGAAAAAAUCUGACGCGAAAAACAACGUUCUUCCAUCUUGACUUUUUUUUUUUAAUGAAUUUUCGUUUCCCUUGCAUUCAGCUGCUAAGCCUCUCUCCUCUUUGCUGUGCACUUUCAGUCAUGCUGUGCUCUUUCUUUCAUAACUUGUGCUCUAGUUUAGUUGUCGGGUGCUUUCCCUUGUCUAUUUUAAAUUAUACCUUUUGUCAUUUCUCAAUUUGACUGUGUUUAAGACUAAAGGAUAGGUCCAAAUUUUGGCAGAAGUACGAAGAGACAGAGCUGUAGCCAGAGAUCCUGCUGGGAUCCAAAAAAGCCAAACAGAAUGAAGCACCAAAAAAAAAAAAAAAAAGAAAACACCACCCUUUCCUUUGCCUGAUCACAAAUUCCACUUUUUCUGUGGCCAGCCCUGCGCUGCGACUCCUCCUCAUCCACAUCUUACCGCAUUCAACCUUUUGCCGUUUCUCUCUUGCCGUACCUUUUUUUAAAGGCGAUUUGAGGUUUUUGUGUCCCGGAAAAACAGUAAAUGGACAACGGGUCAGGAGGGCUAACAGGGGGAGAACAAGGGGAUGUUAUUUUCCUACUUUUGCUUGUUAUUCAAUUUUUUUCUUCUGUUGCACUGUAACUGUUUUCGGGUCGUUGUUGUAGUGCUAGUAGUGUUUAGUUUUGUGUGCUGUGAGGAGGUGCUUGGAUCACCACGUGUUUCUCGUUGUGUGGUUUAAGGAAUAUGUGUGCAGGGGUAUCUAAUCUGUCAGUUUAAGACAUUCUGUUCUGCUCCCAGUAAUGAUUUGUAAAUCUGCUUUUUCUAGGUGUCUUGAUUACGCUGAAGGAUUGGCCUACACUGCUCCUCAUGCUUGACUCCAGCUGAUUCCAGAGGAUGUCUUGACCAUCACUUCCAGCGUGUGCCUCACUGGUACGUUAGCGAUUAUUUCACUUACAGUUUUCUUGUUUCUUUUUCUUUCUUUUUGUAUCCUAAACCCCACCCAGUGAUGCAUACCUGGUGUGUUGUUCACGUUUUUUUUUUUGUUUAAAGGUAGUAAGGUCAAGAGAGACAGCGUUACUUACUGAGGAAAUGCAGAAUUUCUUACAUAGUUGCAAGGACAUAUUCACAAAUUUGCUACUUCUCUUUAAAAAUGAUACUCCUGUCAUACUGUGUAUUCUGUAGAGGUUUGAUUUCAUAUGUUUUAUCACUCUCACCUGAUCUUACUUGACAAUAUUCACCUGCAGACGUUGGAUUUUUGUGUGUGGAUUUUUUUGUCUGUGGACAGCGUAUUUGUUCAGAAUCUUUCUGCUGAGAGACAAUUGCUCUCCUCGUGGUUUUGGGACAUUUUGUUCACAUCGUGGUCAUUUCCAAAAAAUGCCAGAAAUUCUGUUUUUAACUCAAAUUCAUUUUCAGGAUUCGAAUUAUUGAUCAGAAGACUGCAAUCUACAUGUUUGUGUCUUGAAAUGAAAAGAUUCAUUUUGUUAUUCUGUCUGACAUUUGUAAAGUAAGUGUUGACCUCAGAAGAAUGUGAUCAGUAGGUUACACAAACACCACGUCUGUCUCACAGUCAUGUGCUUUCGGCCUGUGCGUUGGGCCAUGGUUAAAUUCGAAGGCUUUUCUUUAUGAGGUACACAAACAGCAGAUAUACUAAAUAGCUGCAUUUAAAAAGUUAUUAGUAAAUAAUAACACAGCGAAUAUUUAAAAAUAACAGUAUUUAAUUUGAUUCUCGGGCAAAGCGAUUGAUUCAGACACUACUUUAAAACUAAGAAUCACUCGACUCUUUCUCAGGUCAUUUAAUACACUUAAGAAGAUUUUCAAUUCAACGCUGAGAAUUAUUUUAACUUCAGUUUUGUGUUUUUCGCUCUGACGCGUUUGCGUUAACGCCCAUGGUUUGCAUGUUGAAUAAGUCGUGUCUACAGGUCCAGAUUGUAGUUUGUCUUCCUGCUCCCAUGUUUUGUGAGAUAUGUCCUUCUUAUUUGCUCUUGAAGGGGUUAUGCCAGCUGCCACAAACCCGUAGAUCCGAACUUGUGGUGACUGGCUGCACAAGCUCGUAUCUAUAGGUAUGUGUCUUCCUGGCAAACACAGCACCUGCCCUACAGCAUGCCUGUAAAUACACAAGAAUAAUAAUAAUAAUAAUAAUAAAAAGUAACUCAAUGUAUUUAUCUUCAAAACAAACACCUUUGUAACAUCGAGGGUUAUUCUUAGACUUCUCACAUGUUCUCUUUAGUGUUUUUAAAAUCAAGCUUUGAUGGUACUCUGAUGACUGACAACACCCAUGUCUGUCAGAACAGGAUAUUCUCCUCUAAACUUCUCCCUUGUGUCCCAUCUGUAUGCAGUAACCCCACCCAAGUGGGAGGGCUGGACUCUAUGACGAUGUGACACGACAUAAAAAUCUUCCUCGUAUCCUUGGGCAGUGCAGCAAAUCAAUGAACAGAACUAUUUCAUAGUAAUACUGACUUUGCAGGACACAUGAAUAAAGGGUAAAAGAAGACCAUUUCCUCUGCUUUAUUUCAGCUAAAGACUGUUUUUUUUUAAAAUAUUGCACCAGAGUUUGAUCUCCUCAUUAAGUUUGCUUUCACAUCAUAUUGUAAAAUUUCGUUCACCCUGAUAAGUUUACUCCAUGUCCCCCCUGCAGAGUAGUCAUCCUACUGUUUCCUCCAGUGUUCCCGCAGGUUGAGGUAGUAGGUUGUAUAGUUCAGAGUGACACCACAGGAGAUAACUGUACAGCCUCCUAGCUUUCCCUGAGGAAACACCACACACGCUGAAUACUGAUGGAGUAUUUUUUUUUACCAAUCAUCACUUUUUUGUGUAACACAAAACUAGGCGUAAUCGGACUAUUAAACAUGUUUCAUGUUUUAUCCCAGGUUUUGUUUUUGGCCCUAAAAUUUUGAUUUUGAAGUUUUGCAAUUUGACUUUUACAUGGAUCGCUUCCCGUUUUCACCCGGGCAAAAAUAGUCAUAUGGGCAAACAAUAACAUGUAUGAUCCUUUUUGGCAGAGACUCAAAAUUAAAACAUUCAGUGAUCAGGGGACAGCAAGGACACAAUGUUGAAGAGAUGUGUACAAGCAGGAUAAUGCUGCAGCAGCAGCAGCGAGGUCUGUGGGCCGCUCUAAUGAAAAAGAUGCCACUGAAGGGAAACACCGUACAGCAGCAGGGGGAAAAAUACAGUCCUGGCAGCCAAUUAGAUACAAAGUUCAGUUUCAUGAAACCAAAACGAUAUACUUCCACUGCUCAGCUGUGUGCUAAAGAUACUGCUGGGAUGAAAACAACCAGCAACGACUGUCAUUGCUUCAAACCAAGAAAACCCUAGGCCCCUCAAAUCAGCUAUACCCCCUACAGCUAAAAUACAGCAGAUUAUUGCUCUGUUUGAAGCAAAUUAUAAAACCGUUUCUUGUGAUUUUCUUAGACUUUGGCCGGCCUUUAGCUCCUCUUUACCGUCAUAUUUUAGUGACAUUUUUAUCUCAUUCGUAGAUCUCAAACUCCACUUUAAAAUGUCUGGAAUCUCAGUUAUGAGACGGCAAACAUGUCAAACAAAUUAAAAAUCCUUAUAAAGCAAAUUCUUUCUUUCCACACAUAUUUAUGUCGUCACUUCUAUGUUUAUGAAAUCAUACCGUGGUGAGGAAUGAGGCGCAGCAUUUUAUCACCAAAGUGCUGGCUGGUUUACUUGAGUUUUGCCGUUUUAAAAAUAAGUUAAUCCUGAAAAUGUUAAAUAAAGUAUUUUUUAUAUUAUACUUUUAACCAGCCUACCAAAUAAAACACGACAGUGGAUGUAGUUAAAGAUGGUAUCCUUGUAAUGCAGUGUGCUACAGUGUGCAGAUGUGUGAGGUAUGAAGUGGUGUGGUGAUGAAAGACUGUUUCCACUUAAACUCUUCACUCUGUCCCGAGGCCACCGGGUUCGAUGGAGGUGGAGUAAGGAGCUCUGUUGGCCUGAGUGGAGCGGGGGCCCUUGGUACGGGGCAGCUCCUGCAGAGCGAUAGAGCAAGCAGUCAGUUGCAGCAGAUACAAAAUUAAAGACGAGAUGUUUUGCCUUUCUUUUAAUGAUACCUUUAAUUAACCAUGAUAAGCCUGUUUUCCUUGUACCAGCAUAAUGUUUUUCAUUUGUUUUGCUGCUUGUGUGCGAUGUUUUGUUGUGGCAUUGGAGUGGUGUGUUACUGUAUACAGCAGGAGGCAUACAGGAGCGCUCCCUGGUGACCCCCUAAGCACACACACCACGCCUUUUGUGUAUAAUCUAAAUGUAGUUUUUUUUGUCUUCAGUGAGUAUCACUAAAAAUAGUCUCAUUUAGCUGUUCUAAUGUUGGCUCUGUGUGUGGCUGACUUACAGUACAGCAUCAACAGCACUGCAGAGAAGGUUGAUUAUUUUCUUAUAGUAAUAUAACAUGAAAUGCACCCCCCACUGCUCUGUUAUAUGUUGAUUUUGUGAGAUACUACACCGUCUUGUUUCUCUGAACUGAAGGGAUGCCUUUGCUAAAAAAAUCAGCUGGAAGAGUUUAAAAUAGAAAGUGUCCCAAAAACUCUUAGAGAAGGUAUUUCACUAUUUUUAUUCAAUAAUUCUUUAUUGAUCUUUCAACGAAAGACAAUACUCUUUUAAAUAAAUCUAUUCGAUUGGAUGACAGUGUGGGACCACACAGGCUUUUUUACUGCUGUCAAUUAUAUUAGGCCAUCGGGAGUUGUCCGUCAAAAAGACCCUGCCCUGGUGAUUCCCUUUUCUCCCCAUUUGUCUCGCUGUCUUACCAUCGUGUCUCUCGUCUCCUCACGAGUCCUAUUUGCUUCUUUAACCAGCUUAUACUUAAAACAUCUAUAUAACACCACCACCUUGAGUUACUAUCCCUAAACUGCUUCAAGAGUUGGAGGGUUCCUCUCCCCCAUCUCCUCUUUUUCUCUUUAUUCCCUAACUUUGUUUGUUUGAAAUAAAUAUUGUUCUUGUCAGAUUAUGGUGUAAGAUAAGAAUCUUUGUCUUAAUUUAGUUUCCCAGGCAACCUUUGAUUACAAAAGAAAAACAGGCCUGCUUUAUAUCGUUGAAAUUCUAACUCUGAAUGACAGAGGCCGCCCAAGAGCUUAUCACAUGGCUUGAAUGACAAUAAGGCAGGAAAAUGGAGUUUCAUUUCAAAAUCUCCUACGUAAGAAAGUGCUUCUGAAGACAGAUUUAUUCUAGAAAUUCUCAAAUGAGGAAAGUAAAUCAUCCAGCUAUAACAAUGGAAGAUUGAUUGGAAGUUUCAGAAUGGGAUUUUAGGGAUAAAAAAGGGAUUUUGUAAAUAGCAGCAAUCAAAACUGAUAAGUUAUUGUUUGAAUGGCCUCACAACUUUUUUACCAAACCUGCUAGAGAGGUGGAGUAAAAUACUUUGUUUUGGUUUUUGCAGGAGGAGAGUUAGCCUGAAAAAAUAUGAAUGAGCACAUCAAGGUGGUCAUUUAGCCUUUAAACAGUUAACUUUAUAUUUGCUAAAUUUACAGAUCCAAGUUCAAGAGCAAAAUAUUUGUUAUAUGUCUGACAACUUGGUUUGAGCAUAGAUGUUAAACUACAUGAGUACAUGUGGAAAGAAUAUCCAUUUGUAUAGAAUUUAGACAAUCUGAAGCAGACUGGUAAAUGUAUCCUGAGAUAAGACUCUGUCUGACCUUUCAGAGGAAAAGAUUGUCUGAGAGAAGAUAAGAAAAUGAAUCAGUAUGACAAACACAGAGGGAAAGUUGCUACAGCAUACAGAGGAGACAUUUUGUAUUGCCAGGCUUCAUAGUUGAUGGAAAACAGUUCACCAAUUUGCAGAUUUAGGUGUAGCUAGCUAGAAUAUAAAUCCAGUGAAAGAUGGGAAGCAGUAUUUAAGUAGGAGUAGAUCAUCUGCAUACGGUGUAACCUUGUGUCUUUGUGCCAGCGUUUUGAUACCUACUGUUUUGUCUUCCAUGACCAGGACUCAAUGAUCAAAAGUCAGGUCAUACUCACAAAUUAAGGGUUGAAGAGGGCAGAACUGUGGGAGACUGGAUAAUUAGCCGAACUAAUGUUAUAAACUUUUCAAGUAACUCAAAUAUCUCAGAAAUCAGGCAGCUUUAUUCAACCUGAAAAAGGCCCUCAUAGGAUCUGGGAGGACUGCAAGCUCGAGAGUAUGCCUAGAGAUAUUAUUUCGAAUAUAUUAGGCAAAACUUUUAAGGUACAAAAGUAAUUUGAUGUCAGCAAAAAAUCGGAGUGUGGGCUACAGUGUAUUUUCUUCCAUUGCAUAGGUUAAGCCAUUUUGCUAAAUUUGUAGUUAUCUAGAAGUGUCAUCUGUUUUUCUUGGUGGAUGUCCCUCGUAGGCUAAUACAAGUCGUUAAUAUUGAAGUCAGAAAAAAACUCAGAAGUCAGGUACAAAAUGUGGUUUUUUUUAAAGCCACAUUGACCAUGUCUAGUUAAUGCUGGGUGAAUGAUUGUUUGGCUCCCCUGGUAGGUUUGCUCAAAACUUUAUUCAUCAGCAGUGCCAAAGAAGGCAACUUAGACAUAUCCCUGAGCUGCUUCCAUGAGCCCCAAAAAGCAGCUUUCUUCUUUAUCGUGGUGAUUGUGAGGUUGAUCAUGAUAUUCUAUGAUGUGCCAAAGACAAAAUCCCUUUAAAACUCAUAGGAAAUAAUGAGCAGCGGGAUGCUGAAACAGUGAAUCCUGAUGUUCAGGUAUUUGGCUUCUCUUUCUAGACCUCUGAGAUCUCCCUGAUUAACACUUUGCUUGAAGGUUUUUGACAUCAGCUCCUGACAGAGAUGGCUCACCAGCUACUGUUUUUUUCACGGCCUUUAAACUUCUGCCCGUCUCGUUCCUCUGUAUUGAGGCCACCAACGGCAGUACCCAUGUAUGAACAGCCAUCUUUGUGUAAAUGUCACUCUUUGGGGAGUCCAGAGCCUGUUGACAAAGCAGAACAUACUAGUCCCCCCUUCUGCUGAGCUAGCAUUAGCAUCAGAUGUGGCCCGAUUGUUCAUAGUUAUUUAAUCUGAGUCUUCAUGGUCAGCUGUUAAAGUCAGACAGUCUGUGCUUUGGUACUUUCAUACAAUGGGGAACAUUGUUUGACAAGGCAUGGAGGUUGGAAUUUGCUGUUUGUAUCAAAAUGAGAAAGUCACCUCAUGCUGCUUGCAUAAAGUUCGCCUACAUCUCUUCCGCGCAACAGCGCCCCGCUCCCCCCUCCCCCCUCCUCCUGCUCCUUUCCUCUUUCAAUCUUCUCUUGUCCCACCCUCCUUUUCCUCCAUGAUUGCACGCUGUAAUACCCAGUCAGUCUCGCAGACACAGAGGGGAGAGAGGCAGGAACAGAAUACCGGACUUGCCGAUAGAAGAAGGACUUUUUUCUUUUCUUAAAUGAAAGGGAGCUUGAAAAGAGACAUUGUAAGAUAAAAACGUGAUUAUCUCUGCCUUCUCUCUUUCUCCUUCUGCUAGUGUUUGUCUUCGUCUUUACUACUUUCUCCCUCCUCGCUCUAUACCUUUUCCUAUCUCUGUUUCGCUGUAUAAAGCAGGCCUGUAGAGACUGCGAUUUCAGCUUUGGGGAGAAAUGAAUGGACGAUAUUUAUUUGUCUUUUCUCCGCUCUGCCUCUGCCGUUUCAGUGCUGUAUGUCACAGGCAGAGGGGCAAGCAGAGCCUCUACUGUUUCUCUGCCCUGGGGACUUGAGCCUGCAAUCCAUGAAGCAUGCGAGGCAGAGGAGGGAAAGAAAAUACAGAGGCACAGACACAGGCAGAGAGGUGUGAUAAAGUGAGACUAAAGCGGUGAGCAGGAGCAGAUAGAAAAUGUGACACAGAUGGAGACAGGAGACAGGGGACAGACAGGGGAAGGAAAUGAUGGGUAGUAGUGUCACAUGGAGAAAGAGGGGUGAGUAGCAGCGGCCACAGGCACUACAGCAACAGGCGUUACACAUUUUUUCCUAUUAUUCACUUCUGUGGCUGUUUGGACACACUGUGUGAGCUUAUUUUCAUAACUUUUAGACAUAUCUGCUGAAUCCAUAAGAUAACAAGCACUUGUGUUUCUCUCAUGUUUGUGUUUUAGGGUCGUCUGUAAAGCUAUAAUUAAUGUGGAAAAACUAAAGCAGAAGCUGAGAAUGUAAGCUAAAGUGAACGAUAUUGUGUCGUACGCCUCAUGCAUAAAUAUGAAUGUAGUGUGUCGCUUUAGCUUUUAAAAUCAACACAGACAGUCACAUAUUUUAAUACCUUAAUACCGACUUGAUUGGACUCUUUCUUUUGUCUCUUUUUUCCGAUCUGUCUCUCACUUUUCAUUCCUCUCCUUUACGAGGAAGCAUGCAUGUAGCGGUACAGGCCUAUCGAUCUGCUCAUUCUUUCCUUGUGCGUUGUGCCACUUUUCUGCUCACGCCCACCGUAAUACAUCUUUGAUUUAUUAGAAUCUUUAAGAAGAAAGGUUUUUCUCGUCAGUCUGUUUUAUCAACAGCUGCUUCGUGACGUGUAAAGUGGCCUCUUUCCUCUGUGUUCUUCUGAAUUGACAGUAGUGUCAGUCAGUCUUACUUCUUUUCUUUUUUAAUCCCAUCUUUGUUACAUUCUUUGUUCACCUAAAAUAACCUUUUAACCUCACACCUGCCCUCCCUUUCAUCUCUCUGUCUCUGUAUCUCUCUCGCUCCCUCUCUCUCUCCCUCUCUCUCCUCUCUCUCUCUCUCUCUCUCUCGCUGCACAUGGUAUAGUCUUGCAUGUCUGAGCAGCAGACGGCGAGACAGCAGCAAUCUGCUACAGCAGCCUCAUGUGCUAGUGCGAAUGAUCCAUUCAACAAAGCCUGAGCUAGCAGCACUAAAACCUCUUCCUCUGCUUCCCUCUCCAGCUAUCUCUUUCAUCGCAGAUCUCUCUUUCUCUGUUCGUCUGGCCACAUCCUCCGCUCCUCUGCUCCUCUGACCGGCACAGACGUACAGCGAGGACUGCGGCAGCCUUCACCACCUCUGUCAGCUGGGUGAGCUUUCUCCUUUCGCUCCUUCCUCACAUCUUGCCUUCACCCUCCUUUUCCCACCCAGUUUUAUCUCCCUGUGCUUUCCCCUCCGUAAAAUCAAAACUGCAUGAUUGACAGGGGUGGUCUCGCUGGGAUGACAACGCUGGCAUGUCAGGGGGAUGGUAUAUCUCAUAACUGUAAAUGGAAAGAAGCUUUGGCUUUUUUAGCAACGUGGAGAGAUUUUUAACCGUGGCGGUCCAGUUGUAGGACCCCGCUGCUCUCCUUGUUGUGUAGUUGUUGCAUGCAGUGUGCAGGAUUUUGGCAUGUUCAGUGAGAAAUCAAAGAUAAUCAGACCACUGUUUGGCUGAGCCAGGCUGUGGCAGCGACAGGGAGGCCGAAAUACGCUGAGGCAGAACCCCUCUUAUGAACAUCAUGUGAUGAUUAAGUGCUGUCUGCCUGUCUGUCUGUCUGGGUUAGUUUCGCUAUAUAGUGGCAGCACAAGUGUUCAUACUAUAUACCUGUUAUCACUUGCAGUGUGAUGAUUUGUGGUGAGGUUCAUUUGUGUGAUGUGAUUUGCUUGUGAUACACAAUGUGAAACGGUACUUUGGCCCGUGUUCAGAUCACAAUGUCGCUUAUCGUCUAAAAACGUCAUGAAUGAGGCGAUGCAAGUGUGUCGGGGUAGUGCGGACUUGACUUACUGAUCCCAAACUGGAUUUAGAGACAAAACUUACACUCAGGGAAGAGAACAGCACAGAGCUAGGAAGAGAGGAAGCUGGCAUUGUCUGCUCCAGUCUCUGCCACAGUGCUCAUGCAGCAGAUGAUCUACUGUUUGUCGCAUAUGAAAAAAGCCCUUAAAAAAAAAACAACAACCUGUACCUCUCUCAUUCCCUGAGACCCUAACUUGUGACGUUUUCCUGUGAUGUGCACGGGUUGGGUUCUUGGGAGCUGCGAGGGGCACUCACACAUCUCUGUAAGCAAAAGCUAAAAAAAAAAAAAAAAGACUAACAUGGCGGAAAGACAAAGCGAAGCAAAGAGGGGGACGGCUUCCCUUUUCUGAAGCUAGGCUCGGCGAUGGGGAAAUGUACGUGUCAUCCACCCACGCCGCGAAAAAACAGCGAAAGAGGGGAUGGAAAGGGAAGAACACUUUUUUUUUUGCGUUACACGAACGAGUUGGACCCAGAGGCAGGCACAGCGUGUGGGGCGUGGGGUGUGGGGUGGGGGAGAUGGAUAGAGGAAUGUGGGUAUGAAGGACAUGUGACUGGGAUAGAGGGAUGUCCAGACAAGGUGGGGGUGACGUGUCCAAACACUGAGUCGUUUACUGUAUCCCUGUGUUUUGGGCAGGUACAAUUAAUGAAUGAGAAAUUUGUGAAGGUUACACCCACAGUGACUAAUACUACACGUGCUCACACAGACCGACAGCACAAGGACCUCAGUCAGACUGUUGAACACACACUGCGCUGUGUAUACUGUACAGACACACAGUCAUAAUUCGUAGAAACACACUGACAGUAUGUUGAUGAAGUUGUCUUUGUGUAUCACAAGGGAAAAACCCCAUUGUGUAAAUAAUUACGAUUCGUGCUUUUCGUCCUGUUAAUCAAACGAAAGUCGCAGUUUCCUCAUGACACUUCUUCACGCCUUAUCUUGAGAGCAGCACAAAGUACUGGUGAGAGCGUGACCCUGAAAGCUCAGUACACUUGUGUUUGACCUCAUGAAAAUUCUCAUCUUUCUGUUUUACGCAUCCGUCGGCGUGUGCCUCCUCGCUCCUUAAUCAGGGUAGUAAAUAAAAGGCGUACAUAAUCCAUGUAUGACACAUGUAUGUGUGUGCAGCAGGGUGACACCCCCAUGGUCGCCGGGUCAUUAAACCAGGGUUUGAACACAAAAUGACUAUAUAAACAAUCGUAGUGUUCACUGUGUUUUUUAAGUGGCUCUUAAAAUGAGAGUUCGUAUUCGGUCGAUGGUUCACUUAAUGUACGUGUUCAGCUAGCGGUCACUGUAUCAUGCAUAAGACUACUGUUGUCUCACUCCUCACUGUUCUGGAAAAAACUGCCGCUCAGUAUGUUGUAAUGUGUCUGGAGGCAAAUGUCUGUUUCUAUAAUUGGUGGUUGAUCUGUGAUCACAGCAACAGCUUCAUUUCCAGCUCUUACCCACACCUCCUGUAUAUGUAACCCUUUACAUGUCUGCUUCCUUCUCUUCAGCCACUCUGAAGUUUGCUCUCUCCCUCUUUCAGGGAGCUUCAGCGGCACUCAAACGAGGGAUGCUUUUUUGAUGUUUUGUCCUCAUUCUUUCAUUAGCUUGUAUUAUGCAGGAUGUGAUGCGGUGAUUAUGUGGUUGAAGGACAGGUAGCUUUGAGCUCUGAUUCUAUUUUCAGCUUUGAUUUGAAGGAAUUUUUAGCCAUGUCUGAUGAAUGCUUGAAGAAACAGCUGACAUUUUUUGUUACAACCCCCCCUACCCCACCUCAAGCAAUUCAUAAAAGCUCUCUUAUUUUGGUGGUCAACUGCUUCUGAGGAGUAAUGACUUCAUAAUGUCUUUAACUCACUCACACUCUCAUGCACCUUGUAUCCUACUGGGAGUUUUGCACCACAGCAUGGUUUCAGUUUACUGGAUGAGAGGAUGCAGGAUGUGUUAGUUUUUUUUUGUUAAAGUGAAGCAGCAUGUGAUACCUGAAAUCAUCUUCUCAAUCAUAACCACCUCCAUCGAUAGAGGGAGAAAACUGCAAUGUUGAGGGGAGUCUGGCUAAGCAUGUGUUAAUCUGAGGUACAUGUUAAAUCCAUAUUUUGUUUGCAGCUUUAAUUGUGUUUGCCAGUUACUCUUCACUCCUGAGGUUUAUGAGUGUGUGAUCCUCGCAUUUUCAAACGUUUUCUAACGCCAUUUCUCAAUCUCUUUGCGGCGAGCGUCGCAGAGAGAGUCAGUGAGGGAUGGUUCGUCAUCUUUCUCUUCUCAUAUGUGCUAAAAUGUAAAUGUGAUCAUGUGAUGUCAGCGGGGUUUCCUUCUCUGAGCAGCAGUAGGUCACGGUGUCACUGUUUUCCUUGUUCAGCAGAAACAUUGCAAUGAAAGAUUACAUCCAGACAGACAGCGAUGAAAAGGAAACAAACAUAAAACAUGAAGAAUAUUUGCAGAGCGGCUGCUGAUUUGAUUUCUGUUUGGGUCUGAAAUGCCAUCUCUGCUCCGACCAAAAGUAACAGCCGAGGAAAAGGAAAGCAAUAACUUUCAUGCGUGCCAUUCAAGCAUCACACUAUGUGUAUGUAUGUGUGUGUGUGUGUGUCUGCGAUCGGUGUGUCUGUGUGUGCAUGCACCAGCCACAUUAUUGAGACCUCCCACUACAGCCUUGCCCCCCGGCCUCUGCUGGAUUUCUUUCCAACUUGUAAAAUGGCCGACCGAUGAAAGAAGCACAGAUCUUUCAAUUUCUUAAAUUUACAGCCUGUGAGUGUUUUCUAUUUAUUUAUCUAUUUUCAGUAGAUGUAGAGAAAAUUCGAGUGCAGGAAAUGGAUUGACAAGUAAUCAUAGCAACUGUCAAUCCUUGAGAUUUUGGACUGACAGAAUUUGGAUGAAUCAGGGUGAAUGUAGAUCAGCUAUUUAUUUUUUCUGCCUUCUCUGCCUGUUUUUUAGAUAAAAAUUCAAUCUUGUUAUCGAUUUCUGAACAGUUCUUCACUUCAGUUGUCGAGAAGUACAUACAGAAACCUUGUCCUGGUGUUUCAAAAUGUUUGGCUGCACUAAAAUCGGGGCUGUACUGUAAACCACCAAACAACCCUCAGGGAUUUGCUGCUGAGGAAACUGGGAGCAAACCUCAAAUGUAAAAUGCAGUUUUCAUGUUUCAUGUCUCAAUGCAUGAAUAAACACAUCUGUUGUGUGUGUGUGCGUGUGCAGCAUAUGUCAGGGAGUAUGGUUUUGUCAGCUUUCUGCCUCCUCUCCUCUCCUCUGUCAUUUCCAGCUCUUUCUCUGUGCUGUGAUCUCACUCACACUCUCACGGCACAGGGGAUGAGUCCUCAGAUGCCCUCUGAUCGCUGCAUGAGAGGCUGGACGCAUGUUUGAAUCUGCCUCUGUCUCUCUCGUUUUCUCUCUGCUUGGUACAGUGGCUGCUGCUGUUGCUCCAGCGGCAGGAGCAGGUGUGUCUACCUCCUGUGUUGCCCCCCCUCCUUCCUGUUCCCUUAUCACUGCAGUACGGCAGCUCUGUCUGGGAGGCAGCCAUUCCAUUGUUCUCGCGCCCCCUGCACCUAUCGGUGCCCCUGUGGGUGCCGUCUCCGCUCUGCCCGCCCCUACCGGUAGAUGGGACUGGCUCCAAAUCACUGUGAUACUUGGCCCUUGGUGCCCUGAGCAAGUUACGCUCUGUUACUCAGGCUUUCUGUCUCUUUCCUCCCUGGACAGAGCUCAGUACUCUGCUGCAGACCGCCGCCAUCUUGUUACUGCUUGUGCUGCUGGUCUGCUGCCUCUGCUGCGCUCAUACCAAAUCGAACCCAGCCUCAACUGUUUGAAAGUGUCUCACUUCUUCUACAAUUGUUGUCCUCCAUGCUUGUCUUUAUCACAACGCACUCUCAGAUAAGUGAAGCUUUUUGAACACAUGCAUCAAACCUGAUGAUUUAUGCUGCCGACACGAUCAUCGCUACUCACAGUGAAUUUAUUCCUCUCUCUGCAAAUAAGUUGAUAUUUUUGGAGUAUAAGACAUACUCAUAUCUGAACCAAUGUCUGGUUCAGGAAGCCCAAAUAAUACCGAUCACAACUGUAAAUGUAGCAUCAAUCACUUACUGUUACUAACAUGAUUCAACGUGAAGACCAACCACCAAAGAGAGUUAAGUAAAACUGGGACUGCUAUUUUACAGAUUCACAAAUCCCACUUGGUAAUAGACGGCUAUUAAACGUCUAGUUUUUUUGGUUAGACCUAAUUUCAACCGUCUAGAUACUGUAUAGAUGAAAUUUAGACGUUGCACUUUAACCCAUUAUUCGAUAACUGUUUGAUCAAAAAGCAACUGUAAUUUAGACGUCUCAUAAACUUUCAUUUUUAGACCUGUGGUAGCCUGAUUUUAGACCAGUCCUCUAGGCUACAUUUUGACGUCUAUUAGACCUCUUUUAGACCAAAAAAUGCUCAGUGGGAUGAUGUUAUUAAAAAUCUAAUUUUUGCAUUUGAUGCUGAUGGAAAGGUAACAUCUGCAUCCCAGUCCAUCUCUGAUACGGGGGGAGUUCAUGCAGCCCUGUAGGUAGCACAUAAAUGCUGUCUGAACAUGUGCAGCUGUAUUUGGAGGGAAUACAAAUGAUCCAAUCACUUUUUAUAUUCGGAUCAAGUACUUUUUUUAUCAUCUAUGUGUCACAUAUUUACUCUUGCCAAAAAGAAGCCUCACACUUCUCUCAGCAGAAUAUGAUAGCAGAUAUGAGUCAAAGACAAACAUCGGUCACCGGCAUAUUUAACAUGUCAGCAAUGCAGCGUGAAUAGCUUGACCAUGAAAACUGCGUAGGAUGACCCGAGCUAAUUACACUCAUUAAAGCCCUCAUGACAGCUGAAAGAGAAAACAAAGACACAAAGUUUGAAGCCACAAGUUGGAUGAUGAGGACAUGAAAAAAUUGUUAUAACAGAAUGAAUUACCUAUGAGCCGAGGUACAAAAAAAAAGUGAGGCCUUCCUCGUUUGUGCAGGUAGAAUCAAGGUUAAAGCGAAGGGUAAAUUUUCAGAGGGCUUAUUUCAACCCAACUGUAUGGAAAUGUUAUUGCUGUAUUGAACUGUGCUUUGGUGAAAAACGAGUGUAUGUGUGUAGGUGGAGGCCAGAGUGAUGCAGCAGUGAGUUCAGAAGGUCCCCAGUUUUCUCAGUCACUCUGCCAAGAAGAAACUAUACGAAUGCAAUCAUAGAGACAGAAGAAAACACAGACCAUCUCUCAAGGGUACUUCUAUGCAUCUGAGGUCACCAGAUUCACUUUUUUCCUUGUGUCUUUGAGCAUUCACACUCUGUAGCUUUGUGCUGAUUCUGUAUAUGGAAGGUUAAAGGCUGCCUUGCUUCAGGGUUAAAUGUUGUCAGCUUUUAUCUUAUGUCUCUCCAUCAGGCCAGUUGUUAAGUGACUCCUCAUUCCAGUACCAGCUACGUGCUUGUAUGUAAAUGCCUCUGCAUAAAUUGUGUAAGCAGGCAGACCUUAGAUGACUCCAAAUUUCAAGAUGAAGAAGAAGAACUUUUUUGAGUCAUCUUAUCAUGGGAGAUGUUUCAUGUAAAAAAAGCCCUUGUUAAGGUGAAUCCAUAUAGGGAUGGUGCAACCGGCAAAAUUCCUGGAUGAAGCAUGAAAGUCAUUACACAGGGUUACAUUACACUCUCGUCCCUAGUUUGGCUUCAACAUAAACGGUAUAAUUAAAAUGUACAACAUUUGAUAUCAUAGAAUCACAGGUAACCAUAGAAACUAACAUAACAAUAAAACUGUUUAUCAUAAAAUAAAUACACCCAAAAUAUAUAUAUGUUAAUAUAAACUAUCAGAUUUAAAAUACUACAUGUUUAAAAUGAACCUAGCGCUUGGGAUAGUUUUAUUUUAAUUCCAGAAUUAACAGGCCAUAAUGCAGAGGGCUGAUUGUCUAAAUUUAGAUCUACAAUUCUAUAUGUUAUGGUUUCCAAUUAUAGUGCUGUUAGAUACUCUGUAACUGCCCUGUAUUCACACAUAUCUGCAAAUAGGGGGGUAAUAGGGGAUUCAGGGGCUAAAUUGUCGAUAAAUUUGAAAACUAGUUUGAGAUUAAAUAAAUGCAUAAAACUCCAAAACUGAAUUGAUGAUAAUUUGUGUCAGUAAUGCCAAAGCUGGAGUCCUGUGUCUGUGAUAUGUGGGGCCCGGCUGUAUGUAUAAGAGAGUAGGGUUUCUGACUGUAGAGGGUGAAGCUUCAACCUAUACAGUUAUACAAAAUAAUAGAUUAGAGGAAGUAAGAGUAUACAUGAAAACUGGUCUAUUUGGUUUGAUAUUCAUCUUGUCUGUUUUCAAAAUGCUCCUCACACGUUGAUCAACUGUUCCUGAGAACGUAAAAUCAGUCCCCCGCUCUAUUGCUUGAUUCUCUAUCUCAAUCGUGAGAUUUUCAGGUGAGCAUCGUUUUCUAGUGGGACAAUACCAACACCACCGUAAAGGUCAUCAUAUUUGACAUUUUUUUAUAAGAAGACAUUAUUUUAUGUUGUACAAAAUACAGACAUGCUGUUGAACAGUUAGCAUAAAAUUUAACUCGAUCCAUAAUUGUAUUCAGUCAGGCCUGAACUUCAUUGUAUUGUUAUGUUAGUUUGUACCCUUUAAUGUCAACUCUGUGUUUACGUUGUGUUGUUUUUGCUUCACCUGUCAGUAAGUGAGACUGUGUCAGUUUGUCGCUGGCCCACACUGUAGUAUCUCAUCAACUUUUGACUGUUGUUUUACAGAUUUCCAUGCUGACUUUUGAAGAUGAGUCCCAAUGACUUUAGUUUUUUCUCAAGAGCCAGGAACAGGUAAUAUUUUUCUUUUAUCCACUGACACAUACCAAUAUCAAUCAGUUGAACUGGCACACAGUUUUACACAUUCAUGGUUACCAGCUAAUGAAGGACGUGCUGAUUGGGAUCCAACAUUUGUGGCUUUAUAAUGAGUGUUACAACAUCUACUGAGAGGAAUUCCAUUAUUUUCAUGUUCCUCUGUAAUCCCUAAAUUUGUCAUCCAGCACCAUCAUCUGAUCAAAAUUUGAAUCUGUGCUUCCAGUACUUUGCUUAAUAACCAAACACAUGCCGAAUAGAGGGAGACCUGCAAGCUAGUUUAGGCUGGCACCUUCAGCUGCACUGAUUUAGCAUUUGUCAGUUGUCAUACUAUCACAUGACACACAUUUGACAGUCUAUUUAAGCUGACAGAUUUCUGGUAUCUGCCUCUGAUCUGCCAUUGACACUGCUGCUUUGAACCAGGGUUGCACUCAGAUUUCUCAGCCCCACCAGUACUUCAGCAUUCACCUCCAGGCUUCAGCUAGGGAGCUUAUGAUACUGUCUCAUCACUUCUCUAACUUUGGUAAAAAAAAAAAAAAAACGUGGCAGUGAUGAUGUUGGCGAACAAACGCCAAACACAAUCAAUGUUCCCCAGCUUUAAUAAACAUUUCAAAUCACUUAAACAUGAGUUGUCUAAAUGAACUAAUGAUUUUAUCAACCUCAGCUCUGCUUACAAGAAUGCAGGACAUCUUAAUUGAAAUGUAGGACACUCUGCCUAAAGUCACCACAUUAGCAUUAUCUUCAUGAGCAUGUUAGCAUGCUGGUGAUACAGUUUGACUCACAACACGGCUGUUUUCCACUUUGCAUGCAGCCUCGUGGUACUGCUAGCAUAGCUGUAGACUAGAGAUUGGCUGUGUCCAAAAUGAAUCACUCAAUCCCUAACCCCUAACCCCCAUAUGGGAUUUUACUAUAUAGCUG
Molecule: long non-coding RNA, 59268 nt
Filed under: Xyrichtys novacula (pearly razorfish)
Lineage: Eukaryota; Metazoa; Chordata; Actinopteri; Labriformes; Labridae
Rfam family: mir-10 microRNA precursor family (bases 44066-44135)
Source: RNAcentral